GGGCAUUCAUUAGCUUCCGUAGAUCUGUGCGUUAAGACAGGGAAGCGGCAGGCAAGGAAAAUAGCUUCAGUCAGCCAAGAACAUCUGAAGAAUUUUUAGCCAGAAGAGCCCUGAAGAGGGGCUCAGGAAGGGUAAGCUGUGCCCAGCCUUUAAGACAUUUGUCUCUCUGUGUGUGUGUGCAGACGCAUGCUGUUUUUAGACUAGCCCGUCCCUGUUCUAAAUAAGACGAUACAUACUGUACUCAAGGACCAGACUUCUGGAUGCGUUUUGCAAAAGGAAUAGAACAAUGCAAUCUGGUACUGUUCUAUCUCAGUCUAUUGUGUUUCAUUUCUUGCUUUUUAAAAGGUUUUUCUGUGUGAGCAUUUAAGUUUAAAACACUAAGCAUGGUUGACCAAGACAGUGCACACAACCAGCUUCCCAUCUCUUCCUUUUGCUACUCUAGGGUGUUUUUAUUUGCCCACUUCCAGAAAGUGUGUGCGUGGUAACCUGGAUAGAUUGUAGAAACUUUGACGUCUUUGUGCUCCACCUCACCCAAAUUCCAAGGAGGUAUUUGCGAUGGGCACAUUAAAUCAGGAUCACAGCAAGAAUGCAUGUCCACCAUAUGCUUCGCAUUCCAUACAGGCAAUCAUUUCUCAGUCACAGGCACUUUCGCACAUGGGGAAAAUCCCUCCUGCAAAACGUAGUUUUGUGAAUCGGCCCAGGCAUCAACUGAUAUGUAAACAGAACAGAAUGAUGCAAAAAGGUGAACAGAGUGGGCACUGAGGGAACCUAGCUUCAAAUCCCUACUUGGUUCAUCUUGGGCUUGGAUUACUGCAAUGUGCUCUACAUGGGGCUACCUUUGAAGGUGACCCGGAAACUACAACUAAUCCAGAAUGCGGCAGCUAGACUGGUGACUGGGAGUGGCAACCAAGACCACAACACUGGUCCUGAAAGACCUGAAAGGCUCCCAGUAUGUUUCUGAGCACAAUUCAAAGUGUUGGUGCUGACCUUUAAAGGCCUAAAUGGCCUCAGUCCAGUGGAGACCUGAAGGAGCAUCUCCACCCCCAUUGUUCAGCCUGGACACUGAGGUCCGGCUCUGAGGGCCUUCUGGCAGUUCCCUCACUGCAAGAAGUGAGGUUAUAGGGAACCAGGCAGAGGCCCUUCUUGGUAGUGGCACCCAGCCUGUGGAAAGCCCUCCCAUGAGAUGUCAAAGAAAUAAACAACUAUUUGACUUUUGGAAGACAUCUGAAGGCAACCCUGUUUAGGGAAGUUUUUAAUGUUUGAUGUUUUAUCAUGCUUUUAAUAUUCUAUUGGGAACCGCACAGAAUGGCUGGGGAAACCCAGCCAGAUGGGCAGGGUAUAAUGUUGGCCUCUGGAUGUUGUUGGACUACCACUCACAUCAUCCCUGACCACUGACCCUGCUGGCUGGGGUUGAUGGGUGUUGCCCAACAACACCUGGAGGUCAUCACCAUGUUGGCCACCACGGUACGUAAUCUCAUCCACCUUGCAGGAUUGUUGUAAUUAUAAAACAGGUGUGUUUGUAGAAGGAACUUCCAUGAACUAGGACUGCGUGGAGACCCCUGAACUGCCUUAUAUAGCCCUGAUCUGUAGACCCUGGAUUGGCCCGAUUCACCCAGUGUUGCCCUGGAGGCCACCCACCAAACCCUGAAGCAAUUUGAGGGUGGUGGGGCUAAGGGGUUUAAACGAGUUUUGGUCCCUGGUCCCCCCAAAUAUUUUAUUGGGGGGGGGAGGCAAAGAACCCUUGACCUCUAGGAAUUGGCUCUUAUGCUCCUACUUAACACCUGUGCUAGGGACGCGGGUGGCGCUGUGGGUUAAACCACAGAGCCUAGGACUUGCCGACCAGAAGGUCGGAGGUUCGAAUCCCCGUGACGGGGUGAGCUCCCAUUGCUCGGUCCCUGCUCCUGCCAACCUAGCAGUUCAAAAGCACAUCAAAGUGCAAGUAGAUAAAUAGGUACCGCUCCAGCAGGAAGGUAAAUGGUGUUUCCGUGUGCAUGCUCUGGUUCACCAGAAGUGGCUUAGUCAUGCUGGCCCCAUGACCUGGAAGCUGUACGCCAGCUCCCUUGGCCAAUAAAGUGAGAUGAGCGCCGCAACCCCAGAGUCGGUCACGACUGGACCUAAUGGUCAGGGGUCCCUUUACCUUUAACACCUAUGUUGCUUCUGGGGGCAAGGAGGAGAGGCCUGCCUAAUCUUCUACUCUACAAAGAUGUAGCUGCCUCAUAGGUUUCUUCUUUUUGCAGUUUCUUAGCCUUCUUCUCAAUCAUGCCUCUCUUUCCUUCCUGCCUUCUGACAGCCCUGGAUGGCUCUGAUCUACUCAACCCAACCUGUAGUGAUCUCGCACUUUCUCCAACCAACUCAAAUGAGGCCCAGAUGCCACCAGAGUUGGCUUGGGAUUUGGGCCUCAAUAGAAUCUGGUGCGUAGCCCUACCAUAAACACCACCUUAGAGGAAAAGCCAUGAUGGAAGUGCAAGAAGUAAGUUACCAUGGCUAAAAACAAACCCAAACCAGAAAGCUAUCCAAAAACAAAGCUGGUGAUUUUCAAGAGGCUGUUAUCAUAUGGGAUGGUGUCAUAAGACCAUCUUACCAGGUGAACGUUUAAAACAAGUCAGCCUUGAGUUUAUGCCCUUUCACAUGAAAGCAAUAUAUGAGUACAUUUCCUUCCCUAGAUGAUCAGGAAAAAAUGGGCUGCUGAGCUUGACUUGUGGUUCCCUUGAAGUACUAUUUACAUACUUGAGCCUCAGAAAUCAAGUCUGAGAAAACUCAGAGCCUCGGCAUUAAACAGGCGGGUAAGUUGAGCUGCUAGGAAUGUUCUGUUUGGAGCUUCUCUGUCAGGUUUUUCGUGUCAGCAAGCCUGACAGAAGAGACAGGCCACAAUUGUUCUCCAGCUCCUCUAAACAUUAGGAUAUACUGCCAAAGAGUUCACACGGUGCAAUGCACCAUUAAACAAUGUGAUAUUGACGUAGGCAGGUGAAUUUGGAAGGCGGCCAUCAUUUUCCCGGUGCCUUCAACCAGCACUAAGCUAAGGUGUGCUGAGGGAAGUGUAGUCAUGGCAGCAACAGGUAAACGCAGAAACCUGAAUAAACAGCCUGGCGUUCCAAGAUCUAAAGCAAGAUGAAACAAAACAGAAGCUCGCUGGAUUGCACAUUUGGACAUUUACCUUGAAAUGUUUGCAUUUGAUUCCCCACACGAGUGGCGACUACUGCCUGCCUGCCAACGUCAGCAAACAACCCCCACAGUGACUCAGACCUUAAUCCUGGUCAUUAAUCCCAUUUGCCACUUGCUCCCUAUCUGUUCCACAAGUGAUGAUGAGUGCCUUGGGGCAAUCUAAUGUAAACUGAUUUUUUUAAAAAAUAACAACCAUAAUAAAUUGCAGCGCCAGGAGAAGGUUAGAUAAUAACUCAAGUGACCCACAUAUGCUUUCCUUUAAGCUGGACUAUAGCAGAUGCUAGCCCAGGGUGAUGCUUGCUUUGAAUCAGAGGAAAUUAAAUCCUAUGGGAGUGUGUGGGCACCUGUCUACAUUUCCAAACCCACGCUAGGAAGACUUAUAGCUCAGUUCUACAGUCCAGAGUGUAAGGGCCCAUAACUCAGGAGGAAAACAUCGGCCUUGCAUGCAGAAUGUCUCAGGCUCAAUCUCCAGCAUCUCCAAAUAGGCCUGGGAAAGAAAGGCUGCCAGAUAGUUGAUACCAACUAGAUAAUACCGAGCUAGACGGACCAAUGGGACUGAAUUAGAACAUAAGAAGAGCCUGUGGGAUCAGGCCAAUGAUCAUCUGGUCCAGCAUGCUCCCUGUGUGAAUCAGAAUGGAGAGCCUAUGUGACAUAGCUGUCAACUUACAGAUUUGAAAAUAAGGGACCAGCAGCCUCAAAAAUAAGGGAUCAGCAGCCAAAAUAAGGGAUUUUCUGAACACAGGUAUGUUCAACUUCUGAGCCCCUCCGAGCCAAAGGCAGAAAGCCCAGCCAGCAGCCAAACGAAGCCUCAAGUGGUGGUUCCCACAGUGCAGCAACCCGGCAAAGGGGAUGCAGCAAGGAAAACCACCGUCACCUCUCCGCUGGGAAGCACUGAGCAAAGGCGAGUUCCCAGGCAACGUGGCCGAUUUGAUCAGCACAAGGCAUGCAAGCUCCACCCCCCAGUGUUCUUAGACUCCUUAUUGGGUGAGCAACGCAGCCAAGCAACACAGUUGGAGCUUCCCUCCUCCCUGGCCGGCUGGCAGGCAGGGAGGGAGAGGAGCUGCUUCCUUUGAAACCCGGGAAAUUUAAAGGACAUCAUCAAUAAGGGACAGCAGCGGGACACAGCGCUGGGAUAAGGGACUUUCCCGCCAAAUAAGGGACGGUUGACAGCUAUGCUAUGUGAGCACAGCAGGCUCCCUGCCUCAGGCCUUUCUCACCAAUGGGGUGAGUGGGGGUGGGGGCCGUGACUCUACUUCCUCUCUCAGGUGCUUGAGGAGAAAAUGCCUGAGAAAAACUAAUGUUAGCAUAGCCUAUACACUUGGAAACUUUGGCGCCAAGUUCUACACACUAUCCCUGUGCAUCCUCUAUCUUGCACUCUUUAUCUUCAAACCUUUAAGGCGAACAAUUCUAGUUUCUAGCCAUACCCUCAAGCAUUCUGCUGGUUAAAACCGGGACAUGUGUCUUUCACUGCCUCCUGUGUGAGCCAGCCCCAACGCCAUCUCCAUUAUCGGCAGCAGCUCUCUCAGAGAGUGCUGAACCAGCUCCUCCCCCUCUUCUCCAUUGUCACCAUCCUCUUCUUCUUCAUCUCCUCCUCUUCUGGUGGGGGCAGCGUGGGGUGGAGGAGGCGCAGUCUCUGGGCCUGGCGGGGGCAGCCUGGCUUGCACCACUAACAGCUCUCCCUUCUUUUGUAUGAAAGACACAUGUAUUUUGGUGUUGAGUUUUUGUGGGAUCCUGCUGACAUUGUCAGGAGGUUGGCACCGAAAACAGGACAUCCAGAUACCAGGAUGGAUUCUUUAAUUCUGGUGAAAUCAGGACAGUUAUCUUGCCAGUUUGUGAACAGUCAAGGCUAUAUCUGAGUGCCUUUCUAAGCAGAUUAUAUCUUGGAUCUUUCUUCUUCUUCUUUUUAAAAAAGCAUUGGGCUCUGUGUCCUUGAAGACAUGGUCCAUGUUUACCAUCAAAACUGAAGCCGAGAUGUCAGAAUAUGUGUGGGAACAUAUUGGAGUGAUACUAGUUACCCAUCCUAGAGCUUCCUCCUGCUACUAAGAACACAAAUAUUCUGACUGCAAGAUAGCCAGAACAAAAAUAUUAUCACAGUUUUUCUAGAACCACAAGCGCUGUGUGUGCUGAUUUUACUGGCUGGAGUAGGCUGUGGCACUGUAAUUUUUCUGCACAUCAAAACUUUGUUAUUUUUAAAGGUCACUAUAGGUUUUUUUUGUCCUGCUUCAGGUGACUCGUAGUGAUUGUGCCACAUCCAGCAUCCUUAAGGGGUAUGGCUGACAUCUGGGAGGCAGGAGAGACACAGUUGCUAAUUGCAGAAUAAUCAAUGGGGCGCUGAAUGCAAUUAUCGAAGAUGCUGGGAGAUUCUGCCGUUUCACGCUGCCGUCUUUUUUUGUACCUGUGACAUCCCAUGCUGCGCUUGUUCUGUUCAUGAUUGCCACUUUAGGGGAAAGAAAGUCGUUUAACAGAAGGGGAGGGAGCCUGCGGCGAGGAGAACGUUUUCUCAGAUAAUUAGAUUAUAAUUAUUAGCUCUGCGCUUUCAUCGAUAUGCUUCAGGAGCAUCAGCAUGAAUGUGUCCAUCUAUGAAUACAAGGGAAGGGGGAAAGAAGCCAUGGCAGCUACAGCAGAGAUGGGGAACUGGUGGCCUCCAAUGCCCACCAGCCCUUGCCAGCAUGGCCAAAAGUCAGGGAUGGUGGGAGCUGCAGUCUAGCAACACCUGGAGGACCGCAAGUUCUCCACCUUUCAUCCACAGCUCUAAAUCAGUUUGUCUAAAAGUCAGUUUUCCUUAGCCUAGUGCCCUGUAGAGGUUUUGCACUCCAAUUCCUAUUAGUUCCAGCUAGCAUGGCCAAUGGUCAUGGAUGACGGAAGGCGGCUGUAGUCAAAACCAGCUGGAGGGAACCAGUUUGGAAAAGGCAGCUUUAGACAGUGGAGAUGCAUUUGGACACCCCAGUCCUAUGUUAGCAGUGCAGUCCAUUGCCUGUGCUGAUAUAGCAUUAGUAUGAUCUUAGGACCAGGUAGUUAGGGCAUCAGUCAGGGACUGGGCCUAGUCAUUGGAGCAGUUCAGUGAAGCACUGCCCUCAUUCUGUGUCCUUUGUGUUUCUUAUCCAAUGCCAGGAUUUCAAAUUCGAAAAACGCAAACUUCGAAAUGCUCUGUUCAGUUUUGUAUGUGCCCCUUUUAUUUCAAGCAUCUGGGAUAGCUCAGUUGGUAGAGGAUAAGACUCUUAAUCUCAGGGUUGUGGAUUCGAGCCCCACGUUGGACAAAAGAUUCCUGUAUUGCAGGGGGUUUGACUAGUUAACCCUCGUGGUCCCUUCCAACUCUACAAUUCUAUAAUUCUAUGAGUUUUAGACUUUUGUCUGGGCUCCUGUCCCAAACUGUCCCAGUGCCUUGAUAAUCCUUGCUGAAAAAAACAACCCAUUAGGGCAAUUCAGCCCACAAGUUGUGAUGAAACAAUUGUGCAACAUUAAUGCCAGAACCCAGGGCCCAUCCAGUGAAGCAGAAUGUGGGUGAUUCAGGAAAGACAAAGGGAAGUAGUUAUUCAUGCAUCAACAUAGGUAAACAAUGAGCUCACAAGUUGUGACAAUUAUCAGGUUAGGUGAUUUUAAAGGGGAAUUAGAUAAAUCAUGGAGGAUAAAGCUAUAGCAAUGAUGGUUGUAUAUGAGGGGUAUUCAGCUAACCCCAAGAUUCAGCUUGAUGGGGAAGAAUCCCAAUCUUUUUCAGUUCUGCUCAGCUUCAUUCAGUUUCAGUUAGUUAUUUGGAUCCCAAUCGGAUUUGCUAAAACCAAAGUUCUGCCCUCACUCAGUUGACUAUAAUAGGGAAUCUAAAACCAGCUGUGAUGAUGUUCUGUACUGUUUACAUAAGUAGAUGGAAUUUGUAGGCAAAGGAGCUCUUCCAGGGUGGAUUAAGUCGACCAAGUUUCAGGCACACCAUCCAGGGGUUUUCAGGUAGGGAACCUUUAAAAAUGUAUUUCCUUUCCUUAAAAGAGAAAGAAGUCCCUUACCUUUUUUAUUUUCUGUUAAAAUUGGAUGCAAAUUGCAGAGAAAGCUCUGCUUCUGAGGGGAUGAAACCUGCUUUUUUCAGGGUUCUCAGUCACAUGGCCAGUUUGUACAUGCGGAAGAUAUAUUAAUAUAAUUAACGGAACACAUGUGGGUUGAGAGAAUGGCCUUACACUAUUUGUUCAACCUGGAUAGAGCAGAAUUAGUGUCUUCCAGGAAUGGGGCACAAACUGAGUAUCUUCUGUCUCUCUCUCUCCACAAGUAGUGGGAUAUGUAUACUGACUUUUAAAAAAAAAUCUGUUUGCGAAUCUUGCUCCCUAAAGAUUUGUAGUUCUGGUCUAGCAUUCUCUCUGUGAACCACUGUGUCCCAUAUGCUUUUCAUGUCUCAGCCCCUCUCUUCCAAAAGCCUUCUCAGGUGCAGUAAGAUGAUGGCAAGCAAAUGUGACUUUGGGAACCACACAAAGAUUCCAGGCUAGCUCUGCCUUGAAAGAAGCGGCACUGUGGCAAAUAUGACUUCCUUCUUUUUCAAAGCAAAACAAAGCACGCCAAUAGAAGCUAAGAGAUGGAGGGGAAAAUAGAAUACCAAAGCUCAAAGCAAUAUCUGCAUUGUGCUUCUCACCAGUGCUCUGCAGAAGUGCUCUUCCACAUGUGAAUCAGGAACAUCACCACAUAAUGAAGUCCUGCUGAAUGGAUCUGCUUCCUCAUGUAAUUUGAGCCGAUCUCACAUUGUCCUUUCACCUGUGAGUCAUGGAAAAGAGCUCUCUGUGCUAAAACUGUUCAAGUGGUUUUCCCCGCCAAUUCCUGGGUGAUAUAAUGCCCCUUAUUCUGCCCCUGGAAAGUAUACCAUCUCUUUGAAUGCUUGGCUCCAUUGGACUAUCUGUAAUUCCCCUACCUCCUUGGAGGCUGCAUGUGGACAAAAGGAGCUGGCAGGAAUUGCAACUAGCAGGGAAGAAGAGCCAGUUUGUUUUUAAUUGCACACCUUGUUCCUCAGAUAACUCACGGCAACGUCUAUCACGUUAUGGGAACACAGGAAGCGGGCCUUAUUCUGGGACAGAACACUGGUCACUCCUGCUUAAUAUUGUCUACACUGACUGGAUCAGGUGUACUAGUUUCUGCCUCACAUUGGGUGUGCUUGGCACACGUGUGACGUCACGUGCACCACAUGCAUGAUGUCACAUGGCGCAAUGCAACCCAACACAGUGUGUGCAUCACAUCACAUGGUGCAACGGGAACUGUUGGGGCCUGCUGCACUCUCCUGCAGCUGCGACAAGCCUCAUCGGGCAACGCAUUGGGUUGCCCAACCAGACACCCAGGGAAUGUUCCUAGUAUUUCCUGGAGAUGUCAGGCAUACAAAGCAGAUGUUCUCUCAGUAAGAUGCAGGUGCUCCCCAUUUCAGCUAGGAUGUGGUUCUCAACCUGUGGGUCCCCAGAUGUUGUUGGACUACAACUCCCAUCAUCCCUCAGCUCUGGCCUUGCUAGCUAGGGGUGAUGGGAGUUGUAGUCCAACAACAUCUGGGGACCCACAGGUUGAGAAAGGCUGACUAGGUUAUCCCUUGUUAUUCAUUCAGCAAUUUUUAAAACUGUAUAUUAGGUAGAGAGAUAGUAGUUUGUCAUCCAGGGAUUUGUGUAGCUGGCUGCAUCAAAACGGAGGAUAUUAUACCCUGUCUGUGUGUCUUCUGUAGAAGCUGCUUGGAAUUUGUACACAUAUUUGCUUUGUUUGGUCAAGUGCGUUGUGUUGUGGGACAGUGACCACACCUGCCUGCCUUUUUACUUACAACCAGAUCAGAGGAUGGCCUGCCUAUCAGAUUCCUCCUCCUUUAAUCUCAGAGUUGCUCCUUGUAAGGAGGAUGGGGACAUCUGUCUCUGGCGCCACCUACUGUUGGUCUUCCUGUCUUCUGCCCUACCAAGUUCCAAUGGGCACCAGUCACUACAGGCAAUUUUGUCAACUUAAAAAACAACAACACAGCCUAUUUAGGAAAAGACACCCUUAUUCCAGACCGUGCAAGUUUCCCUAUUUUCCAGGGAUGUCCCUGAUUUAGAGAAGCCAUCCCAGUUUCUUGUUUGAACCCAGAAUGUCCCACUUUUCAUUAGGAUGUCUCUAUUUUCAUUGGAGAAAUUUUGGAGGGUAUGGAGUUAUCUGACCCCUGAGCUGUCUGAAGGCAAUUACAUUUGCUAAAAGCCACGCAGGAGGGGGGAAAGACCUGCUGAUGAUACAUGUUGACUCCCUGCUUUUAUUGGCAAACUUGCCAAAACGUUGAGCACACAAACAGUUUACUGAAAAUCUUUUGAUUUUCCAGACAGGAAAAGGCUGCACUGUACAGCCAGUUCUCUUGGGGCAGCUCUUAGCUUCCCCUCUUGUUUUUCAUUUAAUUUUAGUUGUAGCUAUCCAACACUUUUAAUUCUAUUAAACCAGAGACAAAAGAACCAAGCAAUACAAUUUGAUAAUUUCAUGAAAGGAAAAAAGUUAUGUAGGACCAUAAUUGUGCAGCUUCAUAAAAUGACGUUGGGAAAAGAUGCAGAAAUGUAUUUGAGAAGCAGAAGGGGAGGAAAGAGGAGGCAAGGAUAAUAAGCAGCAAAAGCCCUGUGUCAGGGAUGGUGUACCCUUGGUUGACCCUUCUGACGUUGCUGGACUCAUUCACACCAUAUAUUUAAAAUGCUGCAAUACCAUUUUAAACUGUCAUGGCUUCCCCCACAGAAUUCUGGGAGCUGUAGUUUGAUAAAAGUGUUACGAGUUGUUAGGAGACUCCAAUUCUUCCCCCCAGAGGUACAAUUCCUUGAGUUCUCUGUGAAAUGCCAACAUCUGAUUGUUAAACCACUCUGGGAAAUUGUAGCUCUGGGAGAGGAAUAGCAAAUUAAGCUUAAGGCUGGACACAGGGUGUUUCUUUCAUCCGGAACUCGCCGGAACUCAGUUCCAGCACCUCUCAGGUGGGCGUCUCCCAGGUGAGUUCUGGCACCUCUUUUUCUAGUAAAAUAGCAUGUCCCUGGAUAUGUGAGAAACUGAGAGAACCUGAAAUUGACAGAAUUGGCCAUCCCUAAUUGAGAGUAAGAGGAGAUAAAUGUGAGUAAAUGUUGGCAUUUUUAUCCUGCUCUUCAGCUGAUAAGGGCUCCCAAAGAUGCUUAUUUCAGGUAAAAUACAGUCCCUGCCUUCAGGUCCACUGUUUAAGUGACAUGAUACAAAGGGGGGUGGAAUCUGGAAGAAGGGGAGGAACAAGACACGAUGUUUUAGCUACAGAAAUCCUGUCAUGAACAGCAGGACUGGGAAAAUCUGGAGAGGAAGCGAAAUCCCACCUCAAACAGCAGUGUUAGAUCAGUGUGGUGCAAAUGGGGUUAUCCCAGUUAAUCCUCACAAUAACAGCCCAAAGUCAUUGCUCCACUGAAAUCAGAGGAAGAUACAUAUUUUUACAGAAUGUGUAAAACUUGGUUGUGCAGGCCUAUUGAUUUCUUUUGAUCAAUAUCUAUAUGCAUUUUACUGCAGCUGAACCAGAGAUAUUCGGAAGGAGCAUGUCUUGAGCUCCUGGAAGAAGUACAGUACUUUGUUAAUAAAGAUGGCGCCUGAGACCGCUCUGGAGAAAGGGAAGGGGGAAUAUUUUUCAUUAACAGGUUGUUGUUCUACAUUAACAGUCUUGUUAACCAGUUACAUAUUUAAAGGUCCUUUGUCUACCACUUGUUCUGGAGGAGAAGAUGAACGCGUCACAGUGGCACACAAGAUCUGAAACUGGUCAUUUCCCCCACUUUUUUUCUUCUUUUUUUUUUGCAAUUCAGCCCAUCUCUUUUAUCUAGCGGAGGAGCUGUGAGCUUUCUGCUCUUUUGUGCUCCAUGAAAAAGAGCCAGCAACUAACUCCCCGUGGGCAUGCACAGAUGGAUUUAGUUCCUGCUCUCAGCAAACAAAAAGUACUGGGUGUGUAGGCAUUAGAACAGAGGGUGCAAUAGCCCCAAAUGUUAGAGAAUUCUCUUGUCUCCUUCUGCCCUUUGCAAAAAUUUCCAAAUUGCCUUCCAAAGAUUAAGGUUUGUCAUAGUCUUGAGAAUAAGAGAAAACAACAAACAGGAAUCAACCUUGUGUGUACACUGAGUUAACAAACAAACCAAAUAGGAUUCUGCACCUAGGUAACAAAUUCCACCCAAAGCUGUGGCCUUGUAGAUGCUGUUUAGCCCCACAUGGCUGCUGUACCUACAGUUGUGUGCAGUGCUUUCACCAGGCUUGGGACUGCACAAAGAGACCUUAUACACAGAACAUUUUGCACCAACAAAGAGAACAUAUUGAUGGUUAAAUGGAAGUUUGCUGCCACAGUCCUGUUUUGUUCUAUGCACAUUCCCUGCAUGCACCUGAGACUGUGUAUAUAUUUUAAAAUUGCUUUUAUACCCUGCCUUUUUCUCCAAGGAGCUCAAGGUGGCACAUUUAAUCCCCACCACAACCCUGUGAGAUAGGCUGAGAGGCAGCGACCCAAGGUCACCCAGUGAGUUUCCCAAGGAUUAGAACCCUGGUCUCCUAGGUCCUGAUCCAACACUCUAACCACUACACUAUGCUGGCUGAUUUGUGCUUAGACAAAAAAACAUGCAUAUAGGCAUGCAGUGUAAAUGUGAUGGAAAGCCAUUCACCAAAAUUAAUUGGUUGAAACAAUGUAUAUUGCACUUCCUAUUGUCUGUAUGCCUUCAUCCUAAAGUAGUAUAAAGCCUUCUGUGAUUUUGCAAUUCAUUUGUCUAAUUUAUUUUCAUUUUGCUAAUCCUAGGAAAGGGGAAAGACUCAAAGUUCUUAUAUCAAGAACAGGAGAAGCCCAGGUCAGGGAACAGAUAACAUCAUCUCCUCCACUGGCCCUCAAUAGCCUCUGUUGUUCUACAUUCUGUAGCAUUCAUUGGUUGUACUGUUUUAAAAUUGUAAAUCACCUUGGGUGCCUUGGCUUACAAUCCAUUUCUCCCUUAGGUUCCAGAAGUCAUUUCCCAUGUGCUUUCAACCACACCAUUGUACACAUUGGAAUCUAUCUUGGAAUUUUAACCAAGAUUGGUAGAGAUCUGCCUUUUCUAAUAAAACCUGACAUUUUCAGGAAGCUGAAUUCCAUGACCAACACAACAUUCCUUGCCUCUUUUGUGCUCCCACAAGAACCACAGCCUAAUAUAUAUAUCCAGUGGCGGACUUACGUUUUCAGGGUCCCAAAGCUCAAGCUUCAUGAGGUUCAUGCAUAUACCACUGAUGGUAAAUUCUAUCCUGGGUAGAUGGAGGCUGGUCCAUUAAGGCAAAGGGGACUUUGCCCCAUCAGCCAAAGUCUGUCCUCAGUCAGCCUCCACCUGCUAACCUCCUUACUGACAUCUGUCCUAGGAGGUGGAACAGCCUGUCAUUUUCCUCCCCCUCAGUCUCAGGAUUGCUGUUGUGGAACUCAAGAGGUGGGAGGAUAGGGGCAAAGCCAGAAUUCAUUGGAGUUUCCUGCCUUAGGCUCUGGGUCCACCUCCUUUCUGCCUUCCACCCUGCCUGUUCCAGCUAUUCAUAGAUGUUCAUGCUAUUUGUGUGCAAGUGCGCAUCAGAGUGAGUGCAUGCGCACAGAAGAACCCCAAUAAAGGUGGCCUGACAAUCAUGCAUUUUACCUGUGCAAAUGUUCAUUGUAAGCACAUUUCAUAGAGUCCCCGUAUUUCAAAAAGUGAAAGUUGUGGGGUUCCCCGCCCCCCGAAGCUGUUGAGCUUCUUUUAGUUUUGCACAAAGUUGUUGAGCUCUUUGUCGGCAAAAUCUAGACUUCCAACAUGGGUUGCCAUAUGUCUGGAUUUUUCCGGACAUUUCAGCAUUUUCCACCCAGACCCUGCUUCCGACGGCUGUAUUCUGGCUGUGUCCAGGAAAUUCCAGAUUUAUGGCAAACCUAACAUAUCACUGUGUGAGUAGUUGAUCCCUUGGUGACUACAUGUACAAAGUGGUCCUCCAAACUUUUGUAAAGGUGUCAGUGUGGAGUAGUGCAAUUUCUCUACCCAGCACAUGCUGCUGAUCUUUAGCAGUUCAAGAUGAGUUUCUCCAGGUCUGUUACCUACAUCAUCCUCUUUGUGCUGCCAAGUGGGAUCCCAUCCAAAAGCUAACUUACACCAGCAGGCAUAAUUAAAUGGACUGAUCGCAUGAGUAAAUACACUGAACGCAUGUACACUGAACAGAUGACGAUUAUUAUUUAUCAAAUGUAUAUACUGUCCUUCAUCAAGAAACCACAGGGUUCUUUACAAUGUAAGACACAAAAUACAUAAUACAAUAACAGUAAAACUGGAAAAAGAUAAUCCCCUCCACCCCCGGUUUAAAAUACCAUAGACUGAUUAAUAGCUGAAGGCCUGGUUGAAGAGGAAUGUUUUCAUCUGGCACCUAAAGAUAUGUAAUGAAGGCACCAGGAGAACCUCCCUGGGGAGACCAUUCCACAACUGGGGAGCCACUGCAGAAAAGGCCCAUUCUUGUGUUGCCGCCCUCCGGAUGUUUCAUGGAGGGAGCACACGAAGAAGGGCCUCAGGUGAUGAUCAUAAGGUUGGUUCAUGUGGGGAGAGGUGGUCCUUGAGGCAUUGUGGUUCUGGGGCACAAUAAGCUUUCUAGGUCAAAACCAGCACUUUGAAUUGGGGCCGGAAACUCAUAGGCAGCCACUGCAGUCAGGCCAGGAUUGGUGUUAUAUAUGCUUAAAUCAUCUUGUCUGGGUGAGCAACCUGGCCAUUGAAUUCUGCAGCAGCUGAAGUUUCUAAACCAUCUUCAGAGGCAGCCCUAUAUAUAACACAUUGCAGUAAUCUAACCUAGAGGUUACCAGAGCAUAGACGACAGAAGUCUAGAAAGGGGCAGGGGUAGACUAUUUAGUGUGGUUCCAUCAUUUGAUUUUAUGAGGAUGUACGAACACUUGGAGGCGAUGGGCUGCCUUUAGUGAUUUUGUUGUGUGUGUGAUGACAUUGGUGUGGCUUUACCAGGGGAAUAUAUUUUGCUUAAAAUGCCGAAGACUUUUCAGAUGUCCAGAAGUACAUGCAAUGAACACAGCAGUGAGGCAGCAGGCCUCAGUCGAUAUAGUACAUUCACUGAAUGCCUGGACAUAGCUCCCACAUGUGCAGCUUAAUGGGCAGGGACUGGUGCUGUCCCAGUACAUUUUGGCACCUGAGGUGAACCACAGAAUGGUGCUGCCUGUCCCCCUCUCACCAGGGAAGAAGGAGUGAGUGAAGAUAUACAUCAGGAAGAAGGGGAAAAUAAAUAUCUAUAUCAGGAACAAGGGUGGGAGAAAAUCAGAAGGGCUUUCCAUUUGCCUAGAGCCCACAGUACAGGUGGCAUUGCAGGGAGAGGAACCACCAAUGAGGCAGCAGAUCUGGCCUCCAAAGAGAGUGCCGCCGCUGUCACUGCCACAGUAGCAGUGGCAGGGGGGUGCUGUAUUCCCUGGAGGCUGGAUUUUGCUGCCCCUGUGCAUCCUGUCACCCAAGGCAGCUCACCUUGCCUCAUGGAUAGGCCAGCUUUGACAGGAACUCUGUUUAGGCCAGGGGUGAGGAAGGUGUGUUCCUCCAGAUGUUGCUGGACUCCAACUCCCAUCAGCCCCCAGCCAGCAUGGGCAAUGGUCGCGGAUGAUGGGAAUUGUAGUUCAACAACAACAGGAGCGCCACAACUUCACCAGCCCUGUAUUAGGCAAAGAAAUGUACCAACCAGGUGAAAAGUUCACCUCCCCUCAUGUACAUAUGCGAUUCUCAGUUGUACUAUGUGGCUUGGCAGUGGCUUACUGGGAUUAGGAAAGAUUUCCUUCAGUCUCCCAGCUUCUCAUUCGUAUGACCUCACACCCAGGCAAUUGUCUGGUUGUGGCAGUGUUGUGGUUGAUUACAGGUCACAUUGCACCAUAAUAUUAAUUAUCCCUUAGGGAUGCAUGGGGAUGCGGGACGGAUCCUGCUCUAGAGAAAGAGUGUGACCUGGAUGACCUUCCUGCAUUUCUGUGAUUAUGUGGUUUUAUGAGCAUGUGCAAUUAACUUGAGUCGCUCCUAUAAUUUCAACCCUGUGAGAUUAAACUGAAUUUGAAGAAAAUAUGAUCAGCAGUAGGGAAACAUACCUCCCUUCCAUGGGGGAGAUCAUACACUUCAUUCCUGCCUCUCCCUGCCCUCUCGUUCCCUCUUUUGCUGCUGUGACAAUUUUCUGAACUUGCUAAAGACAAAGGAGAAAAAUGUUUGCCAAGAGCAUUUGAAGGAUUUGGGUAAUGAAAAGGUGAGCAACCCAAGCCAAUUAGAAUCUUUGCGUCUAAGCAUUGGGUGGUAUGUUUUGAAAUUGCUGUCUUUCCUGCGUUCAGGUUUAGCAUGUUUCAAAAAUAAUCUGGCAUUAGGAGGUACUUCUUGGGUGGUGGGAAGGCAAAAGGGUAAGAACUGGGAAGUUGGAGUUCACAUCCUUGGCACUGUUUGUUUGGUUAUUGCACGACACUGCUUGCACUCUUUAGUAUAGAGCAACUGCAAAAUUGUAGCCACCUCUAAAACGCCAAAAAUGUCUACCAGAUUUUAAAUGUCAUAUAAUGCAAGGCAUGAAUCACAAGACAGAUAAUGUUUCUGAAGGCAAAACAUUAUUUUUUUUAAGUGGAGGAAGAUGGUUAUGUCUUUAAAAUAAGAAAGUCUCAAAACAUGCACGAUUGUCUUGCAGAGACUUGGGGGUGUAAGUGGGCUGAUGAUGAAUUAUUUUUAGUCCUAAAAUGUGCAGACAUUACAUAGUUGUUGCAGGAGAUCUAAAUUAACGUCACUGUUUCUCCAGGUUUGAAUUCUGUUGUUUUAACUUUCUCAUUGUGGCUUCUAUGGUGCUAACUGAGCGCUUCCUGCCUCUGUUGCUGUCUCCUGUCAGUCUUUGGCAUGGCAGAUCACUGCUCCAUCAACUUAGCAUUGUCUACACUGAGUCGCAGCAACUUUUAAGGGUUUCCAGAUGAGGGACAUUUCCAUCCCUACCGAGAGAUACAAGGGAUCGGGCGCCUGGGGUGGCGCGUGUGCCCUGUGCCCAGGGACGGGGCCAGCCACCUGCGGGGUGGGGCAGGGCAAGCCAGGGCAGGACAUUCUGCGGGGCCUCCGAGGAGCCUCCUCCCACUCAGUCACCCUACAGCUAAGGGGAGAUGGCGGGCAGACCGUUUGGGGUACCGUGAAGCCUGCGGGCGCCCAAGCCACCAUGUCAUUCUCAGGAGAGACGCAUGGCUCAGGCGCGCUGGAGACCCUGUGGUGAAUGCUGCCUGGCAUUUUGUCACCCCCUCAGUGGUGACACCCAGGGCGGACUGCCCCCACCACACACCCCUUCCUCCUUCCCUGAGCAGGGAUUGAUCCUGAGUAGGGGAGUUGUGGCCUGUUUUGCUCCACCCCACUGCUGUCCUGCUCCCUUGCUGCUAUCUCACCCCUGGUGCCUCUCUUACCUGUGUUGUGCGGCAGUGGCGGCACCUGUGAAGCACUGGCAUUGGCAUCCAUGAAGUGCUAGCAGUGGCAACGGUUCUGGUGGUAACUCACAAGAUUUUGUCAGAUUUCACUGAAAUCUCACUGGUGCUGCUGGAGAUGGCAGGGGGCAGGCAGCGCAGGUGAUGUAGGUGACAUCUCUUGGGCUUCUACUGCUAGGCCUGAUCCUGAGACCUUCUGCAUGCAAAGCAGUUGCUCUACCAGUGAGCCCUUCCAAUUGAUUAUGCAAAUUCUGAUCAAUGCUAAUUUUUCACUCAUUCUUUUCUCCAGCUUUGUGAAGUAUAGAUGACUGAAAGUUAAGGUUGUUAAUCAAAAAGUGUGAGAAAAGCUGACAUCUGUGAGAUGAAUUUUCUUGAAAGAUCUGAGGUGGGUACUUUCAUGGAAUCAUUGCAGAGAUGGAAGGGACUAUGAGGGUCAUCUAGUCCAACCCCUUGCAAUGUGAGAAUCUUUUGGCCAACUUGGAGCUCAAACCCACAACCCUGAGCCUCAUGCUCUACUGACUGAGCUAUCUCAGCUAUAAGAAGCUAUUUGACAGUGCUGGAGGGAGAAGUCAUUUGUUAUUGUUCCCCAUCUCUUUUUUCUUCUUCUUUUUGGAGAUCUAUGUUAAAAGAAAAGCUACUUAAUCUUUCAUUAAUAUUCCUGACUUUAUCUAAUUAAUUUUUAAUGUUAAUAGUAAUUAGAAGGGAUUGAAAGUCUUGAAGGUGAAACAUUAAUGGGAGUCUGCCCAGUGGAGUUAUAUUUAAUUGUGAUUUUUAAAAAACAUAUACAUAUCAGAAAGGGUUCAUUAGCUGGACUCUUUUCUUCCCCCUUAUCCCAUGUGCUGCCAUCCUAGCAACCUCAUUAAUUCUGACUUUACUGAAUAUAGAUUUGUUGUGAUGGGCUCGUUUUUAUAUACGGUUUCUCUCGCCUAGCCACAGAUGCAUGUCUUGGCUAAGUGAUAAGGCACCCUGCUAUACUGGCAGGUUGAAACCAGAGUGGCUUUAAGCACAGUUCAAAACAUGGGAAAGGGUGGUUGUGGCACCACAUUGCCAGAUUGCACUUUAGAACAUCAUCACAGCAUUAAUCAUAUUGCCAUCUGUGUGUGCAGAUCUCUAGAAUCAGGCUCUGAAAACUAGUGCCAGGGUCAUUUGGUGCCUGCUUAAUUCAAAUUUAUAUACACUCUAAGCUAGGGAUGGGCAAAUCUGUCCAUUUUGGUUUUCCAGUUUUCCAAUUUUAAGUUAGAGUUCUCUACAUUUCUGCAUAGGUUUGUGAUUCUUUAUUUUUUUUUUUAAGUUCUUGUGUGAAUUCACCAGCAUUUUAGUGCAAAUUAUCUCAUGAUACACAUUUGUAUGCAAUUUUGCUAAAUGCACAUUUUUACAGAGCAAUUUCCCUUACACAGCAGAGGUAAGCCAGUGUGGUACCCUACAGAUUCUUCUUCCUAUCAGCCCCAGCCAACAUGGCCAAAAAUCUAAGAUGAUGGGAUUUGUAUUCCAACAAUACUUGGAAGGCACCACAAGAAGUGUAUUUUCCAAAAACGAAAAUUAAAGAAGUUCUGCUUGGGUGAUAAAUGUUAUAUAGUGCUACAUGCCACCCUAAUCUUCAAAUGCUGCAAGACUCCAGGGGUCCCAGGGUUUGUGUUUCCUUUUGGGAAUGAGGCACAUCGGAGACCGUGGUGCCUUUAUGAUGGAGGGGUUCACAGCAUUAACUCCUCAAAAGGGUAUUGUUUCUCCCAUAGCCACAGCCUUGGACUCAAGCAGAAAUUAGCCAUGGCUUUUUUCUCUUCCUUUCUAGCCUUUAGCUUCUUCCUUUAGCUCACAUCACAGCCAAUUCUGCCCUAAAAAAUAUAGGUUUUGUUCUUCUAACCAUUAGAGAGCUGGAGGAGGGCCCCCAACCAUCUGACCUCUGGCACAGAGCCCUCUUUCUUCUGGUCUCUUAAUGGCCCCUUGCUAGGAUUAUAGGGAUUAGAGGUCUGGCACCCACAAACGCAUCACAAUAGGAAUAGUUCAUUGACGUUUGCUGUUUUAUUAGUUAAGAAAGAGAAAGCAGUCACUCAUUAAUUGCUUAUCCCGCUUUGACAUUUGCUUUAAAUGUGAAUGAGAUCUUUACCUAAGGUUCACCUAGGUACACACAUAUUUCAUUCAUCCAUUUCUGAACUCCUUGAAGCUAGCUGAGUCUUAAAGUAACAACCUACAAGAGCCUUCCCCCAAGUUGGCUCUCUGUGAAUGUUGUUGCACACCAAUUCCCAUGGUCCCUUGGCACCGGCCAUGUUACCAGGGGCUUAUGGGAGUUGUAGUCCAUAGUAUUUGGAGGACACAAGAUGGGGAUGGCUGACAUAAAGCAUCACCUUUUUCUCUCUCCCCAGAAGUUGUUGUAUCAGUAGAAAUAUACAUGGCAAUAAUGGCAGCAAGAAAUUUAUAAAACAAUGCCAAUAAACGCAAUGCAAUCAAAAACAGCAGUUGAUUGAAUUCAUCUAAAAACAGCAGCAUAAUUACAUGCUAAAAGCGUGCUGAGAUUAAAAAAAAAAAUGAUUUCAAUUUCUCUCCGAAAGACAAGAGAAAGACUGUGGAAUCUCACCAGAGACUGGGAGCUGCAGUAUUGAUGUGAAGGGGCACUGCAGAACAAAAGGGGAUGUGGUGAUGAGCUUCUGUCAUUGUUUCCUGUGCCCAGACAUUUGGGCAUUUGAGAUGGGGAAACCUAACUUCAUUGGCUUCCCUGCAUCCUUGAAACUUACACAGCAACAAUUCCAUGAUCUGGAGUAUUCUUCGCUCAUUGGAUUUCCUGCCCCAGACAAUCGUGCUGAUGCAUGGGUGAUGGGACGGUGUCUGUGUGGGAAAGCCACAUGUCAGAGGUGGGUGCAGAGGCACAGCCCCACAGCCCCUUUAAUCACACAGUGCCCCUUCACACAAGUAACUUGUCAAGGGGGCUAUGCAUAUGAAUGCAUUUGUCAUUAUAUCGGUGGAGAAUAAUGGGUAGAAGAGAUUAAUGACCAAGCUAUUAUUCAGCUGAAGGAUACCGAUAAUAUCAUAAACUUCCAGAGGAAAUCUUGUGCAGGUUGAGAUACCAUCAGAUUAUCCUGUGAUUGAAUUACAGCUUUAGCAAUCAAUCAUUUGCUUCCCUUCCCUUCCUCCCUUCCCCCCUCUCUCUUUUUAGGAAAACACCGUGAUUUCCUUUAUCUUAGCGUGUGGAAACCCACUUCUUAUUGGAGACCUUUUUUAAAACAAGGAUCCAUUAUUUUAUUUUGUUUUUAUUUUUGCCCUGUAGUUGUAUAUUAUAUAGUGAUGACACUAAUGAAGAAAUAUUACUUCAUUAUGUUUUAAGGAAUGCUUGGCUUAGUGCAUCUGAUGAGCGUUUCCUUUUCCUUUCCAUAGAGUUAGGUUGGCUGAGACUUUCUUCUGCCCUCUAACGAAACCACACCAUUUCAAUCCAAAACAUUUACUUUUCUGUCCUCUAAGACUAAUAUUGGUGUCUGCUUGUAAGAGGGCCGAAAGAUCAUGAUCCUCCUACUGGAUUUCCCUCUCCUUGCUUUAUUGACUUAUGCCUACUCCACAUGUUAUUAUAUUACUUACAAUUGUCAUAGUCAAGUAUGAAGGGAGCAUAUAUGGGAUAACAAAUGGAUUCUGGGUCUUUCCAGUUCUCAGAGAAGGCCAUGAAGUGGCAGGAGGAAAUAUAUCAAGGACGGGUUUCCUGUGAAGGGCUAGCCCACAUUUCUGCUGUAAAAUGGCUGCUUAUCCAUCAUUCCUGCACACUAAAGCAAACCAAAGAAAACACAUUGUAGGGGUCAGUCCUACAUUAGUUAUGAACCCAAGGAAGAUGAAAGUCUGAUGGAAGAAUGAUUGUCACCAAGCUCUGAGAAGGCCUGUGGAUUUAUCUUGGUUGUGAGAGGGCCAGAGAACAAAUUAUCCAAUCAGUCGCAAAGUUUUGAUUUUUUCCAUCUUCUCAUGGACAGCCUAUACUGAUCAGAGUCCUUAGGAAGGCAGAGGAAUGGGAACUUGUGUCAUCUUUCUAGUAAUCCAUUUCAUUAGCAAAACAUCACAGUGGCCUGACAGCAUGAUGUAUAUACACAAGAUGUGCUAAUUCAGCAGUAGUGCCCCAGCUCCUCUGCUCCCUCAUCGAUACACUAAGCCUAGACAACUGGGUCUUGCAUCUUCCAAGGAAGUUCCAUGCACUCUAGUGGCUAACCUCCCCAAAAGGCAAAGAUUCUGAUGCAACUGAUUAUUCAUUAAUCACCACUUAUCUAGGACCACAUUGACUGGAAAGAAAAACGAUUGCUCGGCCUUGCAUUAUGGAACAGCGUGGGUUCACCCCAGACACAUAGGAAGUUGCCUUACACUGAGACAGACCAUCGCUCCAUUUGGUCUCCAUUUGGUCUCCACUGGCUGGCAGCAGCUCUCCGGGGUUUCAGUCUGGUCCUAGCCCCUGUCUUACUUGGAGAUGUUGGAAACAGAAUGUGGACCUUUUUGCAUGCAAAACAUAUGCUCAGCUAUGACCCUUCAAAAUAAACUGACUCUUCCCAUUCAAUUCACACACUGCUAUUUAGCUCUUUGGCCAUGUUCCUCUCUGUGUGAAAAAUACAUGAUAUUCCAAAGAAGAAAGAAAAACAAUACAAAAAUACAAUGUCGCCAAACCUGAUAAAAAUGUUCUCUCUCUCGCUUUUGCCUUUACAAAUCAUUACUUCUGCAAUUAUCAUUACUUAUAUUUGUUCUAAAGAGGUGCAGAACUCAUUAUGUAUCUGUAAUAACUUAUAAUUUUAUCGUAUUUUGGCUCUGAACACCUAUGCCUGAGGUUGAACUUCAGUUUGAAAGCUUGCAUGGACUUUUUAAAUAAAAUGACUAGUUCCCAUAAAAAUCAUUGACUCACUUGUAAUAUGUUUAAAAAAUAAUAAUCUGUGAGGCACUAGCUGAAACCCUAAUGCCACUUAAAAUUGAUAAUUGCAGAGUGUUUCAAGAGGUUGUAGGCAGAUGAAAGGCAAUAUGCAAGAACAUCUAUAUUAAGGUCCAGGAUGCAACAACAUUGCUGAGGCUGAGGAGAUCUGAUUCUGGCCAUCACCUUGAUGAGAAACUGCCUGGGGCCUCUUUGAAAAUCCCUUUGAAUUACAUAACAUGGGAGUGGUGAAUAUGGGCCAUGUUACCUUCUGGGUAAUCUUCUGGGUUCCACAUGCCGGUGGUAGGCAGGGCAACAAAUGAAAAUGAAAAUGAAAAUGAAAAUGUUACCUUUGUACAGUAGGCUAGUUUCUGUACUCACACAUCCAUCUCCCUAUCUUCUAUCCAGGCAAGCAAGAGACACAAUCAGAGUGCAGGGACACAUUCCAGCCAGUCAAAAAUGCUUGGGGUGUGAAGCAGGGCCGGUAAGAAGUGUGGCCUAGCAGGAGGGGGUGUGGCCUGGAGAGGGGUCCAGAAGCCAGGUGAGGACUGGUGGGCUGCAUUUGACCCCUUGAUAUAAUAGAAGAAAGGCUAGGUGUACAUUCAAUAAGAAAUAAUGCACACUAACAUUAAAUCAACAGCUGCCUGUUUGCAAUUUCAGCAUACCCUCCAACAUGCCACAGAGGAAAAUUGGGGAUGCAUGGCCCCCCCAAAAGUGUGCCUCUUUCGAGGCUGCACUGUCACGGGAGCCAAAACAGGAUAUUCUGGGAUCCAAUCAGAAGCUGGGAUGGCUUCUGUAAUUCUAGGAUGUCCCGUUCAAACUGGGACAGUUGGGGGUUAUGUUUCAGGUACUCAUUUUAGCAUCCUGACCCCAAAGACAAUGAACUAAAGGCAUUGAGGGGAUGUUUAAUGCUAUUGCAUAUAGUUUUUUAAGUGUCAAGUGGGCAUUCAUUUUGGUUUUGUUUUCAGUAAUGUUUGAAACCGUAGAUGGUGAGAGCAGGCUCAGCAGGUUGGGUAACAUGAAGUUUCAGUGGUGACCGUCUUGAAUCAAGAGGGACAUGAUGGUCAGAAAUGGAACAUCAAAUUCAUUAACACUGUUCUAAUUAACUUCAAUAUAUUUUUUGAAAGUACAAAUGCAGAAUUCCUCCCAGGGAUAUAAAUUCUUGAUUGUUAAGCUGACUGAAUAUCAUCUGUCUUCCUUGGGAAGCAGAGCUAAUAAUUCCAGUGGCUGGGGUAUAGUAUUUUGAUAGUGAGUUGUGAAACAAUAAAAAUGUAAUAACUUGUGACACCUGCUGGCUGGGAGCAAAUACAUUCUAAUGGAUUUCUGCUGCAUUGAAUUUUCCAUUACCGUGCAACAACUGCCCCUCCUCAAUACCAAGUUCCACCAUGACAAAGAAAAACAGCAGUUCCUCCACUAUGUAUGACAGGAACUUGUGGUCUUUGUCAUAUAAAUCCCGCAGGUCAAAAUUACAUGCAUACAUCAUUUUCUUUGGAUGCCACCCUUCCAUAGUUAAACCAUGCUCAAGGCGGCUUACAACAUGAAAUAAAAUCACAUAAGCACAAAUGUAACAAAAGUAGUCAUGAACAAUAAAUAAAACACAUUGAAAAGUAUACAACGAAAUUAAACAAUUUCCACAUAAAUCAUAAGAAGAUCUAAAAAUAAAUAUAGAAUAAGAUAAUAUCAAUAGCAGCAGCAACCCCCCGCCCCCAAGCUCCAACCCAAUAGUCUUUUCAGCAGCUUCAGAUUUUGUAGCUGGAGUCAGUCAGGGUCCCACCUUCCCAGGUCAAGUGGGAAAAGGCCUGCAAGGCAAGGAACAGGUCGUCCAGGACUCUCAGCCAUGAUGGUCAAAAUUGUUGUGACAGAUGUAUCCUAACAUGAAGUUGCGUCUUGCUGUAUUUUUCACAAAGCUGGAACUGGUCUUGAUGUUGUGUAACUUAGAAUCCAGAAUUUAGUUGUGAAUCUUCAUUAGUCCGGAGGAUGAAUGGGAGAAAAACACAAUGCCAAGGUUCCUCAAAGCACAGAUCCUUCAGCCAUAUCAUCCAUCUUAUUCCAUCUGUUUUAUUAUUAUUCAAUAGUUUUAUUAUUAUUCAAUUAUUAUUCAAUUAUUUUUCAAUAUUGUUCAAUAUUCAAUAUUCAAUAGACACAAUCUGCUUUGUAUUGAAAGGACACACACACAUAGUGAAUAUAAGACAAGAUCUGAUUAAUUUCCAUAUUUGAUACAGCUUUGCAGAAUCCAAUUGGGUUGAUAUUUUGGCUUAUUUCAGGGGGAAAUUCUGGUCCCACCCUGCACAGUCCACAUUUUGUUAUAAAGUGCUUUAUAAAUAAAACAAAACCAUUUGAAAUCAUGGUUUCCCAUUCUGGUUUGCUGGUUGAUUACAAACCAUGGAUUGCCAAUUCAGUCAAUGUUCCAAACCACAGCUAAGCUUCCUGUUAACUAUGAAUUUCAGUGAACUGAACCACUAUACCAAAGUCCUCACUCACUGCCUUUCUGUUUUUAGUCAAAAGCCUUUUCACGAAGCCAAACAAAUGCUUAAUAAUGUUUUCAUUACAAGUGUACAUCCUUAGCUUGAAAUUGCACGCCAUCCAGAUGAUGAUGAUCUAGGGAUUCUUUGUGCUGAAGACCCAAAUAAGGCAGGUCAAGACCUCGUGGAGUCAGACCACAGAACAAGUAAUUGCCACACAAAUUGGGACAGAUGGAGUGAGCUGAACUUUCGACUGCCCCAUUAAUCUGGGUGAGCAUUAGUCAUCAAACUAAUUAAAUGUAAUUGCAUUUUUUUCCUUUGAGCUCUGAACCUUUCGACUAUUAUUCCUUCACUAACCUUUAUUUAAAGGUUCUUAGCUCUUAAUUGAAACAGGGAACGAGAAGCCUGAAGAAGAAGGAGAAGAAGAAAGAAUUCCUCUCUCUUUUUUAGGUGGUCACUGUGAUGAAGGACAGGCUGAAGUAAUUGGCAGCCUUGCAGAGUCAGAAAUGAAGAUUAUUAUGGCUAAACUUGGGGGAAAUCAAGGCUGCUCAUUUUAUCUGUCAGGGACGACACUUCUUAACUUGGUGGUUAACUCAGUGGUGCGGUUGUGACCUUAUAAAAAUAAUCAGGUGGUUAAUGUCCUCGUCUUUGUGUGGCUCGGAGGCUCUCAAGCAAUUACUGUCAAGGCUGCGAGAAAGGGGCAGUGUUUUGCUGAGGAAAGGAAGGGUCUGUCUCCGGAGCGAAAUAGCUUUGUCUCCACAAAUCUUUCCUGGUGAACAUGCACAGCUUUGAAGGAGAAGAUAAAUUGUCUGAGAGGCAGAUGGCCUGCCAUUUUUGAUAGGCAUCCAAAUUUCUGAGAUCAUGGAAUGUGGCACAAGAUUUUUUGAAAAGGAAGCCUAUGCAGCUGCGUUUGUUAUCACCUUGUGAUUAAAGCAGGCAGAAUUAAAAUAAUUGGAGCACAUUGCAGUUGGACCCUUUGACUUCUGUCAUUCGAACGUUCAUGAAUCACCAAAAGAAUAUUUAUUUUAAUGCUUAAAAAUAUGUUGCUAGAAACUUAUUUACAUAUUGUAGUAAAUGCCUGCUUUUGUUCCCCUCAACUUAUUACUUACUUGUUCCUAUCAGAAUGUUCUAUUAUAGCCCAACUAAUCCAUCAAAUUCAGGCUAGCUCUCCUUUAGUACCUCACAGCUUUGUUAUGAGGACAAAACAGGGAGGGAAAGAAACCAGCAUUCCACCUCAUGCUCCCAGGAGAAAAGGUGGGCUAAAAUAUGAUAAAUAAACAAAUAUUAUGCUCACUUUGCUAGUUAAUAUUACUGUUGGCACCAAGCUAGUUAAAAGUAGUGAUGCUUAAGCCUCGUUGAAAUCCAGGGGACAAGUUAAUAACCACUAAUGUAGGCUUGAUGUUAACAGGACUUAAGUAAGACUAGGAAUGGAAGAGGCAUCUGUUUUAUAUGGAUUUAUAUGUGGCAUUUGCCCCUUCAUGGAUCACUGCCUUGCCGUGGCGAAGGGCUUGAAUAACUUGGAGAAGCUAUGAGCUAUGCCGUGCAGGGCCACCCAAGAUGGACAGGUCAUAGUGGAGAGUUUUGACCAAACGUGAUCCACCUGGAGCAGGAACCGGCAAGCCACUCCAGUAUCCCUGCCAAGAAAACUCCAUGGACAAAGACAAAAGGCAUAUAAAAGUUAUGACGCUGGAAGAUGAGCCCCUCAGGUCGGAAGGCGUCCAACAUGCUACUGAGGAAGAGCGGAGGACAAGUACAAGUAGAAUCAGAGCUGAUGAAGCGGCAGGGCCAAAGCCGAAAGGACACUCAGUUGCGGAUAUGCCUGGAAGCGAAAGGAAAGUCCAAUGCUGUAAAGAAAAAUAUUGCAUAGGAACCUGGAAUGUAAGAACCAUGAACCUGGGUAAGUUGGAUAUGGUAAAAAAUGAGAUGGCAAGAAUAAAUAUUGAGAUCCUGGGCAUCAGUGAACUAAAAUGGACGGGAAUGGGCGAAUUCAGUUCGGAUGACCAUCAUAUCUACUACUGUGGGCAAGAAUCCCGUAAAAGAAAUGGAGUGGCCCUCAUAGUCAACAAAAGAGUGGCAAAAGCUGUAUUGGGAUGCAAUCUCAAAAAUGAUAGAAUGAUCUCGAUACGAAUCCAAGGCAGACCUUUUAACAUCACAGUAAUCCAAGUUUAUGCACCAACCACUGGUGCUGAAGAAACUGAAAUUGACCAAUUCUAUGAAGACUUACAACACCUUAUAGAAUUGACACCAAAGAAGGAUGUUCUUCUCAUUAUAGGGGAUUGGAAUGCUAAAGUAGGGAGUCAAGAGAUAAAAGGAACAACUGGCAAGUUUGGCCUUGGAGUUCAAAACGAAGCAGGGCAAAGGCUAAUAGAGUUCUGCCAAGAGAACAAGCUGGUCAUCACAAACACUCUUUUCCAACAACACAAGAGACGACUCUACACAUGGACAUCACCAGAUGGGCAGCAUCGAAAUCAGAUUGAUUAUAUUCUCUGCAGCCAAAGAUGGAGAAGCUCUAUACAGUCAGCAAAAACAAGACCUGGAGCGGACUGUGGCUCAGAUCAUCAGCUUCUUAUAGCAAAAUUCAAGCUUAAACUGAAGAAAGUAGGAAAAACCACUGGGCCGGUAAGAUACAAUCUAAGUCAAAUCCCUUAUGAAUACACAGUGGAAGUGAGGAACAGGUUUAAGGAUUUAGAUUUGGUGGACAGAGUGCCUGAAGAACUAUGGAUGGAGGCUCGCAACAUUAUACAGGAGGCAGCAACGAAAACCAUCCCAAUUAAAAGGAAAUGCAAGAAAGCAAAGUGGCUGUCCAACGAGGCCUUACAAAUAGCGGAGGAGAGAAGGCAAGCAAAAUGCGAGGGAGAUAGUGAAAGAUACAGGAAAUUGAAUGCAGAUUUCCAAAAAAUAGCAAGGAGAGACAAGAAGGCCUUCUUAAACGAGUAAUGCAAAGAAAUAGAGGAAAACAACAGAAUGGGAAGAACCAGAGAUCUGUUCAAGAAAAUUGGAGAUAUGAAAGGGACAUUUCGUGCAAAGAUUACCAUAAUAAAGGACAAAAGUGGUAAGGACCUAACAGAAGCAGAAGACAUCAAGAAGAGGUGGCAAGAAUACACAGAGGAAUUAUACCAGAAAGAUAUGGAUGGCUCAUACACCCCAGGUAGUGUGGUUGCUGACCUUGAGCCAGACAUCCUGGAGAGUGAAGUCAAAUGGGCCUUAGAAAGCACUGCAAAUAACAAGGCCAGUGGAAGUGAUGGUAUUCCAGCCAAACUACUUAAAAUUUUAAAAGAUGAUGCUGUUAAGGUGCUACACUCAAUAUGCCAGCAAGUUUGGAAAACUCAGCAGUGGCCAGAGGAUUGGAGAAGAUCAGUCUACGUCCCAAUCCCAAAGAAGGGCAGUGCCAAAGAAUGCUCCAACUACCGCACAAUUGUACUCAUUUCACACGCUAGCAAGGUUAUGCUUAAAAUUCAACAAGGAAGGCUUAAGCAGUAUAUGGACCGAGAACUCCCAGAAGUGCAAGCUGGAUUUAGAAGAGGCAGAGGAACCAGAGACCAAAUUGCAAACAUGUGCUGGAUUAUGGAGAAAGCUAGAGAGUUCCAGAAAGACAUCUACUUCUGCUUCAUUGACUAUGCAAAAGCCUUUGACUGUGUCGACCACAGCAAACUAUGGCAAGUUCUUAAAGAAAUGGGAGUGCCUGAUCACCUCAUCUGUCUCCUGAGAAAUCUCUAUGUGGGACAAGAAGCUACAGUUAGAACUGGAUAUGGAAAAACUGAUUGGUUCAAAAUUGGGAAAAAAGUACAGCAAGGCUGUAUAUUGUCUCCCUGCUUAUUUAACUUAUAUGCAGAAUUCAUUAUGCGAAAGGCUGGGCUGGAUGAAUCCCAAGCCGGAAUUAAGAUUGCCAGAAGAAAUAUCAACAACCUCAGAUAUGCAGAUGACACAACCUUGAUGGCAGAAAGUGAGGAGGAAUUAAAGAACCUUUUAAUGAGGGUGAAAGAGGAGAGCGCAAAAUAUGGUCAAAAAAAUGAAGAUCAUGGCCACUGGUCCCAUCACCUCCUGGCAAAUAGAGGGGGAAGAAAUGGAGGCAGUGAGAGAUUUUAUUUUCUUGGGCUCCAUGAUCACUGCAGGUGGUGACAGCAGUCACGAAAUUAAAAGACGCCUGCUCCUUGGGAGAAAGGCGAUGGCAAACCUAGACGGCGUCUUAAAAAGCAGAGACAUCACCUUGCCAACAAAGGUCCGCAUAGUUAAAGCCAUGGUUUUCCCAGUAGUGAUGUAUGGAAGUGAGAGCUGGACCAUAAAGAAGGCUGAUCGCCGAAGAAUUGAUGCUUUUGAAUUAUGGUGCUGGAGGAGACUCUUGAGAGUCCCAUGGACUGCAAGAAGAUCCAACCUCUCCAUUCUGAAGGAAAUCAGCCCUGAGUGCUCACUGGAAGGACAGAUUGUGAAGCUGAGGCUCCAAUACUUUGGCCACCUCAUGAGAAGAGAAGACUCCCUGGAAAAGACCCUGAUGUUGGGAAAGAUUGAGGGCAUAAGGAGAAGGGGACGACAGAGGAUGAGAUGGUUGGACAGUGUUCUAGAGGCUACAAACAUGAGUCUGACCAAACUGCGGGAGACAGUGGAAGACAGAAGUGCCUGGCGUGCUCUGGUCCAUGGGGUCACGAAGAGUCAGACACGACUAAACGACUAAACAACAACAUAUGUGGAAUUUGAUGGAUCUGAUUGUUUGAGCUUUGCCCACUCCAGAUCAGCUCUUAUGUGGGAAGUGGGUGGUGCUGUGGUCUAAACCACCGAGCCUCUUGGGCUUGCCAAUCAGAAGGUUGGUGGUUCAAAUCCCCGCAACGGAGUGAGCUCCCUUUGCUCUGUCCCAGCUCCUGCCAACCUAGCAGUUCGAAAGCGCACCAGUGCAAGUAGAUAAAUAGGUACCACUGUGGAGGGAAGGUAAACAGCAUUUCCACAUGCUCUGGUUUCCCUACGGUGUUAUGUUGUGCCAGAAGCGGUUUAGUCAUGCUGGCCACAUGACCCGGAAAGCUAUCUGUGGACAAACGCCGGCUCCCUCGGCCUGAAAGCAAAAUAAGUGCUGCAAACCCCUAAUCGCCUUUGACUGGACUUAACCGUCCAAGGGUCCUUUACCUUUUUAUACUGAGCACCCACCUAUGCCCGAAAGCUGUUAAAUAGUGUUUUUUAAAAGAUUAAGUCUUUUUUAGAGAAAUCAGUAUGGAAUCAAUACGGGAAGGGAGCACUUCCCGAAAAACAAAAUAAGUGAGUGCACUGCUCACAGGAGCUUCAUGGGCAGAAUCUCCAGCCUUCUCAAACUUCAAGGGAAGAUAUCAUGAGGUAACUCCUCCCUUGUGGCUUUUUCAGGUCAGGAAGUGGGGGCAUCCAGGGAGGCUACAGAGGACGCUGGAAAAACGUUUACUGGAAUGAAAAUUACAUACACUACCCUUGGCUGGUUAGGGACGCGGGUGGUGCUGUGGGCUAAACCACAGAGCCUAGGGCUUGCCGAUCAAAAGGUCAGCGGUUCAAAUCCCUGUGACGGGGUGAGCUCCCAUUGCUCAGUCCCUGCUCCUGCCAACUUAGCAGUUCGAAAGCACGUCAAAAUGCAAGUAGAUAAAAAGGUACCGCUCCGGCGGGAAGAUAAAUGGUGUUUCUGUGCGCUGCUCUGGUUCGCCAGAAGCGGCUUAGUCAUGCUGGCCACAUGACUUGGAAGCUGUACACUGGCUCCCUCGGCCAAUAAAGCAAGAUGAGCGCCACAACCCCAGAGUCGGCCACAACUAGACCUAAUGGUCAGGGGUCCCUUUACCUUUACCUUUACCUUUACCCUUGGCUACCCAACUCCACCUCCACCAAAAGUAUAGAGGCAUUUAAAAUAAAUUCUAAGGGGUCCUGUGGAAUGUGUCAGAAAAACACUAGUCUCUUGGGAGAACAGGGAGAGAAAACUUUUUGAGAGUUUGGAGGACAGGCACACAGCACUAAUGUAAUGCGUCAAGGACAUUGAGAUAAAGGCAGUUAGAAAAGGCUGGGAGGUAGCGUAAUGAGGAGCAGUUUCUGUUUGCUUUCAUUAGCUAAGGGAUCUACUCCAUUUGUGUGGAAAUGGGGGCCAUCCAUCAUACAAUAGUCAGUUGUGGUGAAAUUUUAAUGCAAGUUGGACUAGCUGCCUUUCAUUAGGAAAAGAUUAAUAAACCAGUCUAAACAUCUAAAAACUUCCAGAAGGACAAAUAGGCUGGAUACAGACAUCAGAACAAGAAACUCAGCACUCUGGAAUACUGGUUUCCCACCCACUUCUCUUUUUUUGUAUUACAUCAAAUAUUUACACACAAAUUAUUUUGGAGCAAAAGGUUUCGGAGGGAAAGUUUCCAGAAACUUCCUUCCUUUCAUUUUUGACACGAUGUGUUUGUGACCUCUCUGUCCUGUAGUGGCUUCUUUCUAUGAUCUGAAGACAAUGCAGACCACCCCCACCACCCCCAAAAGCCACCCCAUCAAGAGCUGAUUCUUUAGGCAAUCUCAGCCAAUUGGAACCACACAAGUGCUGUGACAUCAUUAGGUCAAAUUGGAGAAAGGUCAAGAAGCAUUGCUUUUAAUCUGCCCGACAACUCAAAUGUAGCCAAUUAUAUUGGGCUACGUGACAGCAUCAUGAAGCCAAAUCAGAGCGAGGGAAAUGUUUCCUGCAAAUGAUGAACAUUUUAGCUUCAUAUUGCACCCCCUUCCCCCAUUGCCCAAAUGUGUGUAUGCAUUAAGAGGGUAAUGUUUUGCACGUUGUGGCCCACCCCUAAUUUUGGGUUAGUUAUUCCCCUCCCAAUAAAUGUUUAUUGUCAUUUUAAUAGAAUGUAAUGAUAAUAUAAAAGCAAUAAUGAGUCCAGUUGCACAUUCUAUUAGCUUCUGUAAAAUACAUAUACAGCUCAGAGAGAAGAGCAGUAUGAUUAGACAAAGUUCAUUAUUCAAGAUAGGCCCUCCAUCAGCCAGUUUGAGUGGCUGGAGGUGGAAAAAUGCACAUAUUUUAUUUAUGUAAAUGAUAAAGGGACACCAAGUGUAAUCAAAACUAUCUUUCUUAGGAAUACCUUUCAUCACUCAUCUAUGGCAAGUAAGAAAUGCAAUCUAUUUUGGUCAAAACCACAUGCCACUCAUUUGAAGUGAUGUGUGGCAUGCAUGCUAAUUAUGGCCAUUGCUGCAGAUCUGCGGUCUGGAUUUCCCCACAAAAUGCCAAGGAUAUGUGUGUGUGUGUGCUGGUUUGCAGCAUGGAAAGUAUGAGAAUUAUGCCAGAAAUGACCUAUUUUUACUUCUAGAUUUUCUGGAUUGUCUGCCCACACAAUCUUGUUUCUGCAGUUAUACGGCAUUGCCUCUAACAGAAAUCAGAACUAUCUAAUGUGUUUAAUAGUAAUGCACCCAGGACUUCCCCACCCCAGCCAGAACUCACUGGAACUCAAUUCCGGCACCUCUCAAGUGGGUGCCAUUGCCAUUAUAAGAGAACAAGGGAGGUUUUCAUGGUGAGUUCCGGCACCUCAGUUUUUAGAAAAAUAGCACUGACUGCAUCUCUAUACUUAAAUACUUUAAAGGCAGUGGCAGUCAACUUGGUGCCUUCUAGAUGUUGUUGGCCACUAGCUUGGAUGGUUUAAAAGAGGAUUGGACAAAUUAAUGGGGGAUAAGACUAUCAAUGGCUACUAGAUGUCAGGGGCUGGACAGAGGCGGAAUGAUGGGAACUGCCCCCCUCUUCUUCUGCACCUUCCCGAGAACAGGAGGACAGUAUAGAUGUAGAUCAGUGGUUUGCAGAAGGGCAUAGUUCAGAGGCUACAGGGGGAGAAGCUGGAAAAUAUUGGGAGAGGAACAGCAGGAAGAAGAAGCACCAGGGGAGAGACAGCUGACAGACUCAGUGUCCUUGGAAAGCAUUCCUGAUCCCUCCCCUCCCCCUCUCCCAGGACCAGGCAAGCAUUGAGCAUAUAGAACAGAAAGCUCAGAGGCAGAAAGCUCAGAUUAGCUGAUGCAGGGGUGACGUAGAAUAGGAGAGACAGAGGGGGUGGAACUUUACUCGGAGCAACGCCAUCAUCUUAGGGAGACUGCAUUCCUUCGUCGCUCUCUGUGAAUUAUUGAAUAACUUCUUCAGUAAGAACUUUUAUUGUUUAUCUGCUUCUUGGCUUCCAUUGUGGGAGGGACCGGAUUCCCCGAAGCCUGACACUAGACCGCAAUACCUCAAGGAUUGCCUCUCUCUGACCUGGACCCUGAGAUCAUCAUCCGAGGCCCUUCUUCGUGUGCCUCCUCCAUGAGCAGAGGAAUGCUCUCCCCAGGGAGGCUCACCUAGCAGUGUGGCGUAGUGGUUAAGAGCGAUAGAUUCGUAAUCUGGGGAACCAGGUUCACAUCCUCCACAUGCAGCUGCUGGGUGACCUUGGGCUAGUCACACUUCUCUUAAGUCUCUCAGCCCCACUCACUUCACAGAGUGUUUGUUGUGGGGGAGGAAGGGAAAGGAGAAUGUUAGCCACUUUGAGACUCCUUCGGGUAGUGAUAAAGCGGGAUAUCAAAUCCAAACUCUUCUUCUUCUUCUAGCACCUUCAUUACGUGUCUUUAGGCACCAGGCAAAAACAUUCCUCUUCUCUCAGGCUUUUGGCUAAUUAAUCAAUCUAUGGCCUUUUAAACUUGUGUGUGUGUGUGUGUUGUUUUUGUUUGUUAUUAUGUUAUGUAUUUUUGCGUUUUCAUAUUGCAAACCGCCCUGAGACCCUUGGAUGAAAGGCGGUAUAGAAAUUUAAUUACCGUAUUUUUUGCUCUAUAAGACUCACUUUUUCACUCCUAAAAAAUAAGGGGAAAUGUGUGUGCGUCUUAUGGAGCGAAUGCAGGCUGUGCAGCUAUCCCAGAAGCCAGAACAGCAAGAGGGAUUGCUGCUUCCACUGCACAGCGAUCCCUCUUGCUGUUCUGGCUUCUGAAAUUCAGAAUAUUUUUUUUCUUGUUUUCCUCCUCCAAAAACUAGGUGCGUCUUGUGGUCUGGUGCGUCUUAUAGAGCGAAAAAUACGUAAUAAAAAAUAAUAAUAGUGAUGGUGGCUAUGCUGUGCCUCCACGGUUGGAGACAGCAAUUAAAGGUUCUGAAUACCAGCUGCUGGAAACCACUAAAGUGCUCUUGCACUCAGGUCCUGCUCACAGGCUUCUCUAUGAGAACAGGCCACUGUGAGAACAUGGGCCUGAUCCAGCAGAAUCUUCUCAUGUGCUUGACAGGGCUCUUCUUUUGCUUUUAUGUCUCUGAAUUAUGACAUUUGGAGGACCACAGGUGAGUGAAGGCAGAUUAAUUGUUCACCCCCACUUCCUAAAGGGCAGAGGUCAAAGUGUAGUGUGAUCUUGGGAGAAGUGUUCGGUUACUUUUAGUGGUCAUCAGAGACGUUGUUAUUCCUCAGGUAUAAGGCAAACGUUAGGUUGCCUUUUCAAAUAAUUACUAUGGUUGGUCUGCCCUGCAGUGCAUCCUUUAUGCUCAGGACCGUGUUAUAUUGCAUUUGAUUAUUUCUUAUUGUAUUUCUCUUGGUUUUUAAUGAUGCAACAUUGACUUAAGAGCGUUGCCAAACACUCUGCAGCAAAACAAACAAGUGAUCAAGAUCAGAAGAAGCUAAAUCCUAUUAUAGCCCCCUGGUGUACUAUAUGGCACCCUGAGGGGAUUCCUUUAUUUUAUUUACCUUGCAUCUAUCUGUGAUGUGCAAGUUCUCUAAUUGUGUGGAUUAAAAAAAAACCUCACUAUCAUUCUCCUUCUCGUUUUCCCUUCAAAUUACUAUUUUAAUUCUCACCAUUUGUUUCUUACAUUAACCUCCUGUGUAGUGUGAAGAGAUUAUUCUAGGUGCAAAUACUUAAAUCUGCCUUGUUAAGAUUUUGAGUGCUUUCAUUUUAACACAUUGGAAGCCUUUUCAAUUACACUCUCAGUAAAUUAACCGAGCCCUUAUUUAUUGCCUCCUCCUGAAACUUAAACUGUUGCAGAUUUUGGUGGGAUGGCUAUUUCCACAGUGGAUUAUGCCUUUGCAUUCAGGUGACUGUUACUAAAACGCAAGAUGAAAGGUUUUGGUGAACAUUUGAAAAACACAAAAGUGAAAAUUCAUGUCCCACUAGCUGCACUUUCAGUAGUAAGCAUGGGAAGCUUCUGCAUUCCCAGUUCAGUGCUUUAAUGCCAAACUGGGAAUGCAGCAAAUUAUGUCUGAAAUACAUACAGUCGUACCUCUGCUUACGUAUCACUCUGGAUACGUAAACUUUGGUAUGCAAACGCGGCAAACCCAGAAGUAUUUUUCCUUGCACAACCCACACUGCCCGCAACAGAUGUUAACUGUAACUCUGAAACACUUUGUCUGGCACUUGUGCUACAAGCCAUCCAGAAUACAGAUUAGCAAUCUACUAAAUCUACAGCCAACAUAUCACUUCUUACAAAUGCUGUUAACAUCAUUAUAACGACAGCAUGCUUUAAUAAUCCGGACUAUUAGAGGUAGGGGGGGGGAGAGUAGUAUUUGAGCUGCCUCUGUCUGGCAGUGGAAAAUCAUCUUCCCAUUUAACAAGCUUCAUUCCACAGUAAAGUACUACAGGAUAAUCAUUAUUUUCUUCAAGUAAAUCACAGAAGCAAAAAUGAUUGCUUAAGGGCAUUCCAAACAAGCAUGCAUGGUGCAUUUCAAAACUCCAGCUUGUUUACAGGGUUCACGGUACAGCCAAUAAAACAUACGUUAAACGAAGAAAAAAUAUUUUCCAUUCGCCUGUGCAGUAGGCACAAUGUGUUAAAUUUAACUUGUUCUAAAUAGCAAACCACAACCAGUUUAAACAAGUAAGAAUUCAUUGGGCCACUCUGUAUAAGAAUAGAGGUUGAGAAGACACUGUUGCAUGCUUUCCACACUUGUGUUUCAUGCUUUAUAAUGGAAAAAGCCACAUUUUCCUUUAUAUAAAGAACAGCAUCCAUCAUGUUAUUUACUGCUUCUCCUGACAAGCACUCUCUGCAAAGAAAUAUAUUGAGUCCCAAAUAGAUCUGGCAGGAAUAAAAUCUAAGCUGCAACUCUGGCACAUAAAGUAGAGGAGGGGGGUGGGAGAAACCAAUAGACCAAUACAAAUAUGAGCAAAUGAAGUGGAAGUCUGCGCCAAAAUUUAGUGACAUUUAUGAACCAGCUGAGACAUUUGGAUGCAGCAAGUUAGUACAGUUGAUUUUUGGACCAGCCAAAAUGAGCUGCGUGUGGAAAUGUGGUGGAAGACUCAAAAGCUACAACCAUGAGCACAUUUUACAAGAAACUGAACCGCAUUGGACAUAGCCAGCUAGCUUUAUUUUCGAGUAUGUAUAGGAUUGUACCGCAGAGGGUUGUCAUAUUUCAAGCAGUGAAAAUCUGGACAGAAAAGUUGUUGAGCUUGCCGACAUGGGCUGCCAUAUGUACAGAUUGACCGGGACAUAUUUUUUGCCAAUUUCCACCCGGGCACUGCUGCAUAUCUCAGGAAAAUUCUGGACAUAUGGCAACCCUAGUACUGCAUAGCAGGCUAAGGCCACAUUUACACCAUCCAUUUAAAGCCUUAUGAUGUCACUUCAAACAAUCAUGGCUUCCCCCAAAGAAUUCUGGGAGCUGUAGUUUGUUAAGGGUACAGAGAGUUGUUAGGAAACCCGUGUAUUUUGUGCCAGCUAGCCAAAUAGUUUGACCAAAUAUAUUUUCCCGUGCGAAGUGAAGCAGGGUGCUGUGCUUGUGUUCUCGGAUUGUGGGAAUUCACUUGAGCCAUCUGAACAAAGUAUUGUUUUCAGAGGAGCUCCGCUUGCAAAAGCCAAUAUAAGAAAUCAGGUUCCUAGCCAUUGCUCUGAUUACCUAAAAAGCCAUUUAGGUGUCUGACUGAAUGUAGCACAUUGCAUAUCUGUUAUCAUUGGGGGCUCAUUAGAGAGGCAAUAAAGCGUUGCAAUAAAUGAGAAGUGAAAGAUUUCUUAAAGCUGGGGAUGCCAUUGGUACAGAGUCUUUUAAUCUCUUUAAUGAGAACUUUGCAAGUGAUGCCCCAAUUAGGAAACAAAUUGCUGCCACCACAAAGCAUGUUUAGAAAUUUUAUUGCAUGGGUCACAGACAUUCCCUGGAUGCCAGUGAGAGCAAGGAGUGAAAUGGGUAAUCAAAGUUUCACAUUGUCAUUAUCUUUUAAAGAAAGUGUUUCUUUGUCCCUAGGUAAUAUAAUAAUUGGACACUUCUAAACAAUCAUUAUUAUUUUUCAAAAAAGCAGCUCCAGGCCAGAGAUUCAUGCUUGCCCAGAUGGAUCUUCCUUUAAUUGGGAGGGGGGCUGUUUCGUUCAAACAGAGCAAUUGUUUUGCAUACAUAAAGGAAUGAGUGGCAUGCUGGUUGGUGGCCCCCAAAAAUACUAUUAUGGACCACUUCAAUCUCUGCCAAGCAUUAGCAAAAUUCUAGAGGUCUUGGCACUUAACAAAGGUUUGUGUUCCUUUGGAAUGAGGCCCAGUGGAGACCAAUGUCUUUACGAAAUAUGCUUUAUUUUACACGUAUUUAAAACCUGGGGUUUUGAUGUCUCUCAUUGCUCCUCUCAUAGCUUCAAGAAGCUUGAGCCCAAAGCAGCAGCUAGUCUGUCCCCCGCUUGGUGCAGCCUCUCUGAGAGCCAGUGUGGUGUAGUGGUUAAGAGCGGUUGACUCGUAAUCUGGUGAACCGGGUUCGCGUCCCCGCUCCUCCACAUGCAGCUGCUGAGUGACCUUGGGCUAGUCACACUUCUCUGAAGUCUCUCAGCCUCACUCACCUCACAGAGUGUUUGUUGUGGGGGAGGAAGGGAAAGGAGAUUGUUAACUGCUUUGAGACUCCUUAGGGUUGUGGUAAAGCGGGAUAUCAGAUCCAAACUCUAGCCAACACACAUGGAGUUCUGGCCCCUCCUUUCUCCUUCCCUAAAACCCUUGCUCAAAAACCUCAGUUUAAAAGGACACCUUUCUUCCUGUGGUGACAUCAUGCCCCCUGUUAGCUGGCAACCUUCCCCUCCCAACUCUGCCAUUGUCCUUUUCUAACCAACACACAGUUGGGGGACUCCACCCCCCUUCAUGUCUGACACUGAAUGUCUCACCUUUUGUCAGGGUAACGACGCCAUCAUCACCUGCCUUUGUUCUUUGAUGGAAUCUCUGUAAACCAAGCUCCUGAGGAAGCUGGCUUGAGUUAUUUUUUUAGGCUUUGCUAAAUCCAUUGGUCAAACCCCACAUUUACUAAUUUGAGAAAUUACGGAGAGAACUUGGCAUGCAACCCAUCAGUAAAAUAACAGUGCGAUGGGAAGCCAGGAAAAGCCUGCAUAAAUAGACGAGUCUUCAGAAGGCAUUUAGAAGCUGUCAGCAUUUCUGACUGCAUGUGCGAUGGUGUUCCAGAACGUGGGUGCUAUUACUGAGAAGGUCUACUCUCAUAAGAUUUCAUAAAAUAGCAUUCCACCAAUCAUCAGCAUUCCAUCAGCAAGACCUCCCUGGAAACUAGCCUUCUGUAGAAAGGUAAUAAUUAUAUUUGUUUCCUUGCCCACUUUUAUCUCUAGUUCCAUUCACCACUGGAAUGUGACCAUUGGGAGGUUGCCCAAAAGGAAACCUGGCCCUUGGGCUCAAGAUGCUUCCCUGCUCCUGAUCCCAGAUAUCAAUCUGAGAUAUAUUCGGUAAGGAGGUCUGCUAGGUAUCCUGUUCCCAGGUUCUUUAGGGAUUUAUAUGUCUGCAAGAAAACCUUGAAACAGAUGAUCAAACAAGCCAUGGUUUGUUUCUACAAGGAUGAGCAAGGAUUUCUUGCCUUGUGCCUUUGUAGUUUGGUGAUGUCUGCAGUGGGGUGGCCAAAACAAACUAUGGUAAAGGAAGGGAGCUGGAGUUGCAUGUGAUGCUGAACCAUAGUUAAAACAAACCAAGGUUCAAAUUGAGGUAUCAUGGUAGUUAGGGCUUUUUUCCUAGGAAAAGAGGUGCCAGAAUUUGUUGACCUUUUUAUAAACCACUAACCUCUGCCGCCGCUGCACAACCCAAAUCACUUUCCUGCUUGCCGUCUCCACCACGCAGCCCUGAGCGCCAUGCAGGGGAACAACACCAGAACACCUACAGAGGUGCUGGAAUGCAACAAAGCGGUGCCAGAACUCAGUGUUGGUGAGUUCCAGAUGAAAAAAGUGAUGAUGGUAGUACAUAAUGAAAUACUUUAUUGUCACUUGUACAACUUGUAUACAGUGAGAUUACAUGAGCACCCCCCACUCAGCUCUCUAAGUCUUAAUUCCCCUCGUUUACUGACGCACACCCACCAAACCUGAAAGUCAGUUGCCCUGUUUUCAUUUUCAUUUAGCAACCUAACAGCCCACGGAUAGAAGCUUUUCUUUACCCUGUUGGUGCGACUAAUCAUGCUUCUAUAUCUUCUGCAACCAAUUGCAUCUUUCCAUGCCCCUUAUGUAAAUACAUAAACCAUUUGGCUGGUUUCACACACCAUGCUAAGCCAUGACUUACCAUUAUGUCAUGACUUACCAUUAUGUGUGAACCAGGUCAUUCUGCCCCUAGAUUCUAUUACAAUGCUGGAAUCCUGUGGUAUUACUGGCAACACAUGUGUGUGCUUCCUUUGAUUGUACUUUCAAAGGGGGAAAAACACAUUUUAAUGGUAGGAGAAAGAGGAGAGGGAAAGACAGCAAAAUAAAACCUUGGUGCAACUGAGCCAUCUAAAUAUGUCCAUUUAACAAUGGCUUUAGGUGGAGCCAGUAGUCAUCUAUUUUACAAGCAUUCAGGACUCUGUAAUUAAAAGUUACCUAAGAGCAUGUACACUAGUAUAAAAAGGGUAAUAGCAUCUGACCCAGCAUGCCCAGCUAACCAAAUUGCAACUCAACAGGCCCCUAUUUAGGUCAUAAAUAGAUGGUGAAAUCAGUUUCCCUUUUAUUGACCUUCCAGGGUUUAUAAAAGCAAGUCUUUCUCAAUGCUUUUAUUAAAGUGGAAUAUAGGCAAGUACUUAAAGAGAGCUACUGGCAUGGGUAAUCAUAACUUUGUUUAAUAGGCUAAUAUAUGAAUAAAUGUGCCCAUGGCCCCUUCAAUACUCCUUUUGCAUGAGCAAGUGAACUAGCCAGUAGUCUUCCAAUCAACUCUAAUUUAACGUUUCACCUAAACUGGGAAACUGUGGUUCCCAGCUUCAGUACAAGCUGCAACAUCAAACCAUAGCUUGAAGAUAGUCCAAUAUCCUGGAUUGUUCAGAUGGUGCUAUAUUCAGUUUCCUGGUUCAAAUGAAACAGGAAACCAUGGUUGGCCAAAUACAUUUUGAAGCCUGAGGCAAAGGAAAUGAUGUACCCUUGCAUGCCACACACGAGAGCCAACUAGGCUGGCAGCUCAGAUCUGCGAGAUGGAAAGAGCAAUGUUAUUUAUGAAAGCGAUGAUAUAUGGAAACCAUCUUGAUAUGAGGAUUGGACGAACGGAAAAAUUCACACAGGAUUAUAAUUGGUGUUUAUCAGCUUAAGGAGAUUAUCAGAAGACAUCAUAAAGAAAAAAAGAAAAAAUAUAUACGAACAAGAUGAGAUGUGGAAACAGCAAGAUAAGACUGGAUAGAAUUAUGAACAUUAUUUGGACUGAUUUGGACAUUAACGCAGUAGCAAGAAGAUGAUCGGAAUCCCCCUUUGGAACUUGAAAUAUGGGUCUCCUCAACAAAAAUUUAAAAUUCAGCUUUGUAAUUCGAAAUUUAGGUGAUGUGAUUUGAUUUGAUUGGUCGGUUAAUAAAAAUAAUUAAAAAAAAAAAAAAACUAGGCUGGCAGCUCAACAGUAGCAAUGAGAUAGCCUUUGACAGGAUCAAGCUAGCAGUAAAUCACACCAACUUAGUUGGCGUUAACUCUUUAUUAGCAAGAAUAGGAUCUGCACAGGAGUGUCAGGCCUAAUAAGCACAUCAACUCAUUUUCAGUAGGUUUCCCCCCAUGAAGCAGUUGCUGAGACUGAAGGUCCCUCCUCCCCACAGUUGCCUAAGUCCCUUCCUCUCCAGAGUUUCCCCCAAGUAAUCUGAGACUCCACCCUCUUGGUUCUGGGAGAUCCAGGGGAGGGGAACCAGGCAGAGGGCCUUCUCGGUAGUGGCGCCCUCCCUGUGGAAUGCCUUCCCACCAGAUGUCAAAGAGAACAACAACUACCAGACUUUUAGAAGACAUCUGAAGGUGGCCCUGUUUAGGGAGGCUUUUAAUGUUUGAUGUAGCACAGUAUUUUAAUAUUUUUUUUGCAAGCCGCCCAGAGUGGCUGGGGAAGCCCAGCCAGAUGGGCGGGGUAUAAAUAAUAAAUUAUUAUUAUUAUUAUUAUUAUUAUUAUUAUUAUUAUUAUUAUCAUUAUCACAGCAGGUGGGGGAGAAACUGUCUCAGCAACAUCUACAUUGGCUUAGUUAUGUCCACGGAAUGGAAGGUGGCAGGACCCCCAAGGAAGUGGCUCUAUGGGAAGCUGUCUUAAGGCACCAGUCUUGUUGGCAGGUGAACUCUGUGUUAUAAAGAUGUCUUCAAAUGUGACAUGAAGGCUGGCAACAUAAACCCCGCAGUGAGUGAAUCCCUUGCAGACAACUGCAGCGCCUGGAGACAGUCAAUUUGUGUAUCCAAAGCAGUGACCAGAGGAAGAACGACUGCUGGGAAGGGUGCAGAAACAAGAAAUGACAUGGCACAUUUGCAUCAGCACAACUGGACGCCUUCAUCUGCCCCAGCUGCAACCAAACGCGUCUCUCCCAUAUUGGUCUCCACAGCCACAGCAGGUGCUGUAACCUCCCAACCGUUUGGCUUCACCUAAAAAGGCACACUCCUCCAAUGUCUCCCAACACAGACAGAUGCCAAUCAAUUGCUUCUUUCCAUGCCCCUUAUGUGCCUGGAUGGUGAGCUGCCCCAUUAACUUCAGUGGAAAAGAUGGCUCCACAAUUUUUGCAUGAUGUCUGUAGAGAGCUGUAUCCUUUCCUGAGGUGAAAGGGGGAAACACUAAGGUGUGGUGAGACUGAGUUUACCUGUGUGCUGAAGCUUUGUUGCCGCCUGCAGUAAAUUGCUGCAUGGAGCCAAUUUACUCCAAGCCCUUCUGCAAAGGGUACAAGAGUUUAGUUCAAAUGCCGAGCUCUUUAUUUGUGCUAUAACCCUCCUUAAAAUGUGAUCACUUUAUUCUAGCAUGCCAUAGAGGAAGAAUGAUGGACUGAUCAGACUCAAUUACUUUGAAAAGAGCAUAUAAUUAACCAUAUUGCUACUACGAGUAGGACAAGUCUCUGACAGCUUUUCUUUCUUUAAAAACUGUGUAACAAUACCUAAUUAUUCUUCCAGCAAUCUACUCCCAGUCUAAAUUUAGGACGUACUUUUUUCAACCAGCUAUCGUUGGCAGAUUAAAAAAAAAAUCAGCUCAAGGUUCAGUGCACUAGCGUUGAGAUUGACUUUUCCUUUAAAAUCAGAGCAAAUUCUGAAAUGAGUUCCUCUUCAAGCCCCAUAACAUUCACAGGAUUUGUGAACUAUUCUACUCCCCAAAUUGGUGGUGUGCUGAUGGCAGGGUGUAAAUAUUUUCUUUUCGAUUUGAUCCAUAGAAAAUAGAUGACUGUUAGAAGAUUGGAUAGUGUGUCAAAAAGGAACAACAUUCCUAUUUCACCCAGUUCACUUGGUGUCUAAAUAUAAUGUUGUAAAAUCUAUCCGUUCCUGGAUCUUAUUGCUGCAUCUCUGCUCCACAGGGUGAGCAGCUUCUGAUUAGCUGCUAGAUAGGAAUUUCCUCCAAUUUUGUUCCAUUAGGGUUUGUUCUGACCCACAUUUCUUUCUCACUGGAUUCCCGUUUAACUAGGAACAUCCCCAGUGCCGGAUUUACAUAUAAGCUAAACAAGCUAUAGCUUAGGGCCCCACUCUCUUGGGGUCCCCCCAAAAAAUUAAAGGAAAAAACACCUGGAUGUACAUUUCCAAAAUAUGAGAUAAAAAACAAAUAAAAUAAAACCUACAUACAGUUAGAGCUUAAUAAUUAUUUCACUAUUAAUAUACUUCUUCUUAAUUGUAUUUCGGUGAUAGAAUACAUAUUUUGUUUUGUGCAAAUGGCUUUAGAUACCUAUUAGGUCCAAAAAUUACCAUAUAGCAUAUAAAAAGGUAAAGGUACCCCUGACUGCUAGGUCCAGUUGCGGAUGACUCUGGGGUUGCAGUGCUCACCUUGCUCUAUAGGCCGAGGGAGCUGGUGUUUGUCUGCAGACAGCUUCCAGGUCAUGUGGCCGGCAUGACUAAGCCGCUUCUGGUGAACCAGAGCAGCGCAUGGAAACGCCGUUUACCUUCCUGCCGGAGUGGUACCUAUUUCUCUACUUGCACUUGGAUGUGCUUUCGAACUGCUAGGUUGACAGGAUCAGGGACCGAACAAUGGGAGCUCACCCCGUUGCGGGGAUUCGAACCACCAACCUUCUGAUUGGAAAGCCCAAGGCUCUGUGGUUUAGACCACAGCGCCACCCGUGACCCUUUCAUAUAGCAUAUAUUCAACACAAAAAACAGUGACAAUUUGUUGUUGACAAAGAACAGCUGGACAUAUAAAGGGCCCCAUUACCUCUAGUAGCUUAGGGCCUCAUCAAACCUAAAUCCAGCCCUGAACACACACCACCCCCCGAUAAAAAUCAACCAGAUCAUGAGAACAUGAGAAGCAGCAGUGGAUGAAAGUGUGGUGCAGGAAGAGCUCUGGGAAUGGGGCUCUGUUGCUCCUCUGACUUCCAAAAACUGCAGGUUACUACUACCACUUAUUGAAAAGCCCAGUGUGGCAACAGAGCCAAUCCAUUGCUCUUGCUAACAUGCACCAAGCUCUGUGUGCCUUUCCCCUCCCCUUUUCGGUAAGAGGCAAUGACAUGCGGUGUUGGUAAGGCGGGGGGAAAGGGAGCCACAUGCACCACCCCUCCACCUCUGACCAGAAGCCAUCCUGGCUGGGGCUGAUGAGAGCUGGAGUCCAACCAUAUUUGGAGAGUAACAGAUGCUCUAGCAGAAGAUUCUUAAACCGUGUCUUCCCUUUCCAAGGGUAGCUUAUGAUUUAUUUAUUGCAUUUGUGUCUCACCUUUUCCUCCAAGGAUCUCAAGGUGAUGCACAUGGCUCAAUACACUGUGAGGUAUGUUAGUUUGAGAGGCAAUGAUUGGCCCAAGGUCACCCAAGUGAGCUUCAUGGCUGGGUGGAGAUUCAAACCCUGGUCUCCCAGGUCCUGGUCAGACAUUCAAACCCCUAAACCAUGCUGUAGCAUGAAAAUUCACGUGCAUGCAAGGACACAAACAUGCACACGCAAUCAUUGUCUUUCAUUCCAGAAGACUUGCAUGUAAUAGAAUGACCUCAUAUUUGUUCGUGUUACCAUGGCAUUUCGAGAGGGGAUAUAAGAAGAACAAUGCAUUCCAAGUUUCUUUUGCUUCACCUUUCAAGGUCUUUUGUUUAUUCCCACUCAUGCUCCUUUUAGCCUUAAGAAAUCUCGUGAAAGGAACCUAUCAUUGUGCAAUUUUGAAAUAAUCCUCCCCAUCUCAAAAGUUAUUAAUGCCUGUCUUGGGUUGAAUGCUUACAGAAAUUAGGGAUGAAAAGAUGAAAUAGCAGGGUGCCAUUAUAAUGCUUUGUCCACAGAGCGUAUUUGGAGUGGCAGCUUAAUAGCAUGAUGAGUUAAUUGUAAUAGCAAUGCAGCUGUUGGGCUGAUAAGACAGCAGUCAUCUGGUUGACCUGUAAAAAUGAAACCUUGGUCAACUGUGGGAGGGAAGAGACAACACAGUGACAUGCCUUGAAGUAUGUGUGUAAAGAGGUUCUCCAUUUCAACAAGAACAAAGGCUUGGAGAACACACCAGCCUGGGAGCUGGACAAAAACUUUAUUGUCUCUUUUAAACCAGACACAACAGCACUCAGAUGUAACUAAGUCCAGUGCCACCUAGAGACUAAACUGUAUACUGACACCAUCCACAAAGUCUGUAAACAUCCACAAAGUCUGUAAACUUGAUUAUUGUAGAUUUUGAAAAGGGACCUCUAGAGAGUUGGUCUGAUGUCCAUAUUUUGAAUUAAAUAAUGGCACACAUUUACCAGCAGUUCUCUAUAUUCUGUUUUAAUGUCAACAAAAAGCACCUUUCAAUUUACGGCUGCGAUUGCAUCACAGAUUCUCGGAUUCUAGGAUUACUCAUACCCAGCCCCUGCAUCUUUACUAGAAGUUUUGGAAAGUGCUCUUGUGCACAGAAUUAUAUGUUUAAAAUCACUUAAGAUUUUACAACUACUUUAUGGUUACGGUGGUGAAAAAACAGGGUGUAAAAAUAAUAGGGAGAGCAAUCCAAACUCACAAUCUGCAAUGAGUGGGUUUGGACGGGGAGGAGGUGUUCCUCAGUGCAGCCCUGCUUGGUUCUGCUAGCCUCUGCUAAUGAGGUACUCAUUAGCAGUACGUCAUCAGGGAAGCCCUGCUGGUGAGGAGCAUGCCAAUAUACUCCCCAACCAACAGUAAGGUUGUCAAUCCCAGCAGGUAUAUAACAGGAAGACCAGGCCACAGGCCUGGCCAGGCCGGGUCUUCCUGUUAUAUACCUGUUGGGAUUGACAAGGCAUCUGACCCUCACCUGACUCUCAUAGCUCUCCUGACGAGUGCUUUGGUCUGCAGCUACGGUGUGGAAAUAAAGGAUGAGAUUGCCCACCAGGUACCAGGCACUCUACUAUUCAAAUUAGGCUCCAGUGUUUUUGUUACAAUCCCCUUCUCAAUUAAUCAAUUUUAAUCUGGAAUUUAAAUUCUCGAAAUUUCUUAUUUGUUAAUUCGAGCAAGUAAACUACUGCUCUCACUUCAUUACAAACAGUAUUUCUACCUGCAACACACGAGCAAACCUGCUCCUCUUCCUUUCACAGAUAUUUUGUUGCCAUUUGCAACUGUAGCUGCUUCUGAUUAGUUAUCAUUUAACUCUUGGGGAAAAUAAUUAGCAUCACAUGUCAUGUGCAUGGAAGUUGCUGAACCAAUUAACCAACUACAAGGAUAACUGUUAAUAGCACCAGCUUUCCUAUAUUUAGUUUGCUUUCUGUUGCCACCCAGUGCCACUUUGUUUUGUACGAUUCCUUGCAAAUGAAGGAAAACAACGUUUCUGCUUGUAUAUGUUGAUAAUAUAAUUUUGGUUACUGAGGACAAACAAGAUCGUACAAAAACAAGAUUGGGUGCAGGCCUGGCCAGGACAUAGGCAUCCUGACUGUGACAAAGGUGACCUAUGUGCUUGCUUGCUUGUUUAACAGCUGUUGGGAACUUCAAGGUCCCUGCUCUCCCUUCUUAUUGUCUCUGUACUGGACCUGGAGACUCCAAUAGAGAGCAUUCCAUGUCAAGAAGGAGGGCAAGUGGGCACCCUAUCAAAUGACAGGGCAGGAGCUACACGGAGCAGGGCCUUUUCACUAGUGGUGCCCACUGUAUGCCUUGCUCUUCCCAGACCUGCACUCUUUUGGCCUGUAUUUUGGAGCUUUAUAAGUUAGGAAGACUUUGGAAGAACUGUUUGACAAGUCUUAUCAGUCGCUGACGUAUGAACAGAUUUUAUUUGCUGCUAUUCUGGGCUUCUGGUGCACCAGGGUUUACGCCAGCAUAAUAGAGUUGGCCAGGAUGUCAGAAGGGAUACACUUUACGAGCUUUCUCCAUUAUCUGCACAGCAAGGGGUGUUCAGUCAACAGUGCAAAGGCUGAGCUGAAGCAUUCCCUGCUGGUUACCUGCUUUCAGCAAUGGGGUCACUGUUUGGUAGUACCCAAUUGGUUAGCUGUCAGAUUCUAGAGCUCUCUAUUGGUGGCUCUUAGGUAAUUCACAAAAUACAGAAACAUAGUGUUCAUUUAUAAAGCAGUAACACAAAUCUCCAUUGCUACGUAUUGGAUGUAUAUUUCAGCGGUUGAACGUACAGGUUUAUGGCCAUGCUGUAGUGUAGUGCUUAUGCGACUGUGAAUAAAAGGUGGCUGGGCUCAUUGUCUCGAGGUUUGGAGGGGAGAGGUGACAAAACUGAUUUCCAAUAAGUGCCCCCCCCAUUUCCAUAACAAGUCCUUGAGUCUGUACUCUGAAUAGUGACACCAGGGACCUAGAAGGUGCAGGGCUUGUCAGUCCAACCCCUGCAAAGUCUCAUCAGGGCUGACCUUAAGGCAAUUGGAGCAAUUUGGCCAAAUUGGGCCCCGCGUGCUGCUCCUAAAGGGACCCCUGCAGCAGGGCAAUCUAGAUGGAUUUUAUUUAUAUCUAUAAGAUUUUGAAGAUUUUGGCUGUGAACUGGGGCCCUAAAAAAAAUAAAAAAUCAAGUUGUGCCCCACUGCUUCAAAUUGGGCCCCACUGGCUAGCCCUGAGUCUCAUAGUUGCUGGGCCUGAGUUGCCUUUCCAUGAAGUCUUGGGUUGCAAUUUUGGGAGAGGGGAGACUGCCCUCUGGGGAGCGGGCUGGCUGGCGAGGGCCCCUAGAUGUAGAGGCCCUAGACUUCAGCCUACUUAGCCUAUACAUAAAUCCGUCACUGGCUGCAACCCCAUAGUUGCCUUUGAUUGGACUUAACCAUCCGGGGUCCUUUAGUUUUACCUUUACCUUUACAGUGGUACCGGGUUAAGAACUUAAUUCGUUCUGGCGGUCAGUUCUUAACCUGAAACUGUUCUUAACCUGAGGUACCACUUUAGUUAAUGGGGCUUCCCGCUGCCGCCGCACCACUGCCGUGUGAUUUCUGUUCUCAUCCUGAAGCAAAGUUCUUAACCCGAGGUACUAUUUCUGGGUUAGCAGAGUCUGUAACCUGAAGCGUCUGUAACCUGAAGCAUCUGUAACCCUAGGUACCACUGUACGUAGUAUUACAGCCUUUUAUACUCACUUCCCUGUGAGUAAGACCCAUCAAACUCAAUCGAACUUACUUCUGAGCAAGUAUAAGAUACACUAUAAAUAAAAUAAUAAAGUGUCUGCUUAUCGCCACAGCAAGCAUCCAGUGCCACAAUUUAUUUUCAAGAACAUGCAUACCUGUUCUAGAACCACAGCAAAGAUAAGAGGAAUUUAAGAACAAAUAAUCUGCAGCUGCUUUACAGAUGUUAACAUAAAAAGUUGUGCUGCACGACCGUACAUUUUAUUUAUUGCACUGUGAACUUCUCACAGCAGCCUGUUGAUUAUUACCAGGUGUACUUUUCUUCAUAAUCCAUUAAGUAUUUUUGAAUUUUAAUCCAGUCCUGGCUAUUUUUCAAUAGCCUGUUUUGCAUUUACCCUUCCCCGAAUUUCUUUUGAGUAAAACCUACUUUAUUUUCUGCUUCUUCAAGAUGCUGCAUGAUUUAGCAAUGCCGGAAAAUGCUUUAUUACUUCACUAUAGCACCGUGGUGUAGGGGUUAGUGUGUUGAACUAGGGCCUAGGAGGUCAGGGUUCAAAUCCCUGUUCAGUCACGAUGCUCCCUAGGUGACCUUGGGCCCAACCUCUUAGCCUAAUCUACUUCACAUGGUAGUUUUGAGAGUAAGAUUAACAAGCAUAUGCCAUCUUCUGCUCCAUGGGGGAAAGAGGGGAUAUAAAUGCAAGAAUAGAUAAAAUAAAAUGCCAGAAAACAUUUUAUUAAUCAAGAUAUUUAUUUAUUUAAUAAUUUUUAAAUUAAAUUUUCUGUUAUACAAUUUAAAAUACUAAUUUUAACAUCCUUAAAAUAUACAAUUUAAAAUACUAAUUUUAACAUCCUUAAAAUAUCAAUGACUUCCCUUCUUCUCUUCCCAUGGUUCGUUUUGCAUAUCAUAGAUUCCUGCAUAUUUUACAAAAACUAAACCAUUCAAUAUUCCAUUAAUACACCCACCAAACCUUAUUUUCACUGUUGAAAUUAUAUUAAUGCUGCUAACAUUUUCAGGUGUACACAGCCCCCCCAUAUAUACAAUAAACAUUUUCCAAUCUUCUCUAAACGUAUGUUCUUCUUGUUCUAAUUCUAUAUGUUAAAUCUGCAAACUGUGCAUAUUCUGUCAGCUUAAGUUGCCAUUCUUCUUUAGUUGGGAAUUAAGCAGGAUAUUUAUAGACACAAAUAAAGGAAAGACCAUGCCCCCUAACUUAGGGAUGGUCAUAACUAUUAUAUAAUCAUCUUCUUCUUUCUUUGGCAAUCACUCGUAGCCGAGUAAGAUUGUCUUCCAUAAACACGGUUUUAACAGUGAGUCCGUAAGUGACUGUGGAGGCCAAUUCUGGAUCCACACAUCCUUCCACAGUGGGGACAUUGGUUCCCGGGGGGGAGUUGAUCACGGUGUGGAUUUGCCAAGCAUGCCUUCCUCUUAGCACGUUUCUCCCUUUCGUCUUGAGUUCAAGUGUCUUCAAAGCCCAUGUCACCUUUGGUAAAGGCUGUUCUCCAACUGGAGCACUCGCAGGCCAGUGUUUCUCAGUUGUCAGUGUUUAUACUACAUUUUUUCAGAUUUGCCUUGAGAGAGUCUUUAAACCUCUUUUGUUGACCACCAGCAUCAAACUUUCCAUUUUAAUUAAAGCCUUCAGCUAUGGAUGAGGUUCUUCCCUGUAUACAGACUUCAAGGACCUCAACAGAUGAAGAGCAAGGAAAGUGUGAGAUCCAGGCAGCAGUUCCCAAUACUUCAUAGGUGUCUUUGCACUGCACCAACUCUGCCACCAUCUUGCCUCUCCGCCUUUCUCCCUCCUGUUCAGAAGCAGUGCCCCACCUGCCGGAAAGCUAGAGUAGCAGCUCUGCUCCCCCCUAGUGAUCUGCUUCUGCCAUGGACACAGAAAAGAUAGGAGAGACAAUAGGAAACCCAAACCUUGGUGUGCUGCUUUCUGAAUUAUGAAUUAUGAAUUAUGAAGUGAUGCUGAAAGCUGCUGCAAGUUAACCCUAAUAAAAAUGUUGUGUGUUCUUUCAUACUAAGGCACUUCCUUCUUGGUUAUUUAUUUAGAGCUAUUUCAACUGGCUCCACUGAAGAGGCUCCCAUGCUGGCUUACUCACAAUGAAUUGAGGCAAGGUAGCCCCUGCCCAUAGGCUUAUCCAUGACACAAAAGGAAAGAGUGAUGGGCAGGGAAGAGGAGGGGAGAAGCAAGCUUGGGUACCAAUUCUUAAAGCUCUUAUAUUUACUAGCUGGAGUGAAAAUAGUUCAAGGACCUUCGGAGCCUGAAGGUGUUGGCCAGGGCCGGAUUUAGGUUUGAUGAGGCCCUAAGCUACUGAAGGUAAUGGGGCCCUUUAUAUGUCCAGCUGUCCUCUGUCAACAACAAAUUGUCACUGUUUUUGUUGUUGAAUAUAUGCUAUAGGUAAUUUAUGGACCUAGUAGGUCCAUACACAACACAAAACACUGUUGCUGUAUGUAGGUUUUAUUUUAUAAGUUUUUUAUCUUAUAUGUUGGAAAUGUACAUCCAGUUUUUUUCCUUUAAUUUUUUUGGGGAGCCCCCAAGAGAGUGGGGCCCUAAGCUAAAGCUUGUUUAGCUUAUAUGUAAAUCCGGCACUGGUGUUGGCCAUUUAGAGGAGCUGGUUAAAUAAUAGUGCUUCCCAUCUCUCCUACCUCUUCAGCCUCUUCUAAUGGUUUUAAUGGUUAACAUUCCAGCUUGUUUCCCCCCACCCUGUGCAGUUGGCCUCAUCCCUUCACUCCUAAUCUAUUUCUGGUUGUUCCUUCCAGCCCAUCUCUUAAAAGUUGACCUUACUCUCACGCUUGGAACUCAUCACUUGGGAAACUUUGUUUUGUUUUGUCUGAUGCUGUGCAUACACGUUUCCUAUUUAAGUUGUGUAACACAAAUAGAGCUGGAAGAUCAUUAUCCACAAUCUGUCUUGUUGCUUCUAGUAUAUAUAUCUAUUUCUGUUAAAAUCAGUGGGAAUGUGUAGCUACUACUCAGAACCAUCUGUGGGGCAGGGGUGACUAACCUGUGGCCUUGGUGUCACUGGUAGGGAUGUCAAAGAAAGGAAGCAGAAGCUGUUGCUAUCUGUCUGUGGUCAGGAAUAGGAAAUCAGGCACGCAAAUGCCAUCGGUAUUCACAUCUUGUUCCCACCCCCAAAAGUCCACAAACGAUACAUAACAAAUGACCUUUUAAAUAUUGUUUGGAUGUUUCAUUUACAAUGAAAUGAAUGUAAGUUACAGAAAUAGUUACGUAACUUACGUAGCCUACAUUAAAUGGAGAUGCACAACAUAGCAUGUAACUGCAGCGGAAAGGAAACAGCGCUGAUUGUGAAGAAUACAGAAGGGAUGGAAAUUGCUGCCUUCUUACAUCCCUAGUGGCUGGACUACAACUCCUAUUAUCCCUGACUAUUAAACCAUGCUAGCUGGAGCUGAUGGGAGUUGGAGUCCAACAAGAUAAUUGUUUUUUCCCCUCUUAUGUUUUUAUUGUAAUUUUACUUGUGUUAGCCACCCUGAGCCCGGCUCUGGCCAGGAAGGGGUAUAAAAAAAUUAUUAUUAUUAUUAUUAUUAUUAUUAUUAUUAUUAGGGCUGCAGAUUUCCUAUCCCUGAUCAAGGAGUUGCUGCUGAACCCAUGAUAUUUACAAGCUUUUAAAUUAAGAAAGCAUCUUGUGAGAACUUCAAGAACAGCAAAUGUAUAUUAUGGCAUAAUCUUUGGGGGUGCACUGUGCUCCCCAAAAGCUAUAGCAAGACUCUUCCUUGAUUUUGCUGCAAGAGAUUAGCAUGGCUAUUGCUCCGGAGAGCGUCUUCAUAUAAUAUUGAAACGAUCAAACCAAAACAAUGAACUUGUAUAUAAGGAAAACUUAAAAUAAUAUAUUCAUCAAAAGAAGGAUCUCGAUGAGAACACACAAGUGUCUAGAUUUCAAGGUUAACAUUUGCUAAAGCAAUUGGAAAGGUUUGCCUCCCACCUCCUCCACGGCUCCCUUGCUCUCUCUUAUCAUCUCUUUCUGCAUUUCUAUAUUUAAUCUGAAUUUCUCUUAUGCUUUCCUCCCUUUCUGCUACUGCUUCAGACUUCUCUUAGCAACUGCUGCCCACACUUCCUUGGGGAGGCCUGCCUCACAGUUGGAGAGCCGUGGGUGUACUCUACUUAAAGACACAUUUUUUGUUUUGUUUUUAAAUCUCCCAGCAGAAAAAACUACAGUAUAAGCCAAAUCCUGGAGUAAAAAAAAAGAAGAAGUAGAAACUUCACAAAUCACUUUCUUUUUUUAACAGAGCCUCACUAGAAAUGUGUGAGGUUCCCUCCUCACCCCAAGAUAUCAGUUUAUACCAUACUUUCCUUAACAGUGUUAAUGGAACAAAAAAACCUGGUUCUCAGAAUUGGCAUUCAGGGGAUAUACCUUGAAGGAUCUCUGUGCAAAAGAUUAUAUCAGGUGAAAUGAGAGGCAAAGGGAGGCUGAACAUGGCCAAAUUUCUGGGGGCUCAGCCCUGUAGCCAGGGUGAGGCUAAAGGGCACACUGGAACGCGGGUAGCACUGUGGUCUAAACUACCGAGCCGCUUGGGUUUGCCAAUCAGAAGGUCGGUGGUUCAAAUCCCCACAAUGGAGUGAGCUCCCUUUGCUCUGCCCCUGCUCCUGCCAACCUAGCAGUUCGAAAGCACACCAGUGCAAGUAGAUAAAUAGGUACCACUGCGGUGGGAAGGUAAAUGACAUUUCCGUGCACUCUGGUUUCUGUCAUGCUGUCCUGUUGCACCAGAAGCGGUUUAGUCAUGAUGGCCACAUGACCUGGAAAGCUGUCUGCUGACAAAUGCCAGCUCCCUUGGCCUGAAAGCAAGAUGAGUGCCUCAACCCCAUAGUCGCCUUUGACUGGACCUAACCAUCCAGGGGUCCUUUACCUUUUUUACCUUUUAAAGGGUACACCAUCCCCUCUACAGAGCUGUGCAUUGCUCCCACUCAAUUUUUUUUUUUGGGGGGGGGAGGACAUAAUUAUAUUUAAAUUUGUGGUAUGACAAACAAUGACAGCCUCUAUUUCAAGAACGACAGCUUGUUUUAAAGUAAACACUGGAGCAGUUUAAGACUAGAACCCUAAAAUAAAAAUUCAGUGAAUAAGGCAGGGUGAGUGCACAGCAAAAACUGUACCUGGAAGAGUGGGUGGGUUUUCCAUGAUCGCAGUCAACCUGUUUCUUAAGGGAUCCUGGGAAAAAACCCCAGUCCAUAUGGGAAUGUGACCCAUAAAGAGUUAAACAUUAGAACUUUGCAUUAUGGGCUAGAGUUAGAGACCUUGGCCUUUGGACUCCCCACUGCUUUACAGUUUCAGUUUCAGUUGUGUUCUCUACCCAGCCAGCAACAAAGAAUCAUGUUUGUUUGCCUGCAGUCAGAAGCAAGAGUUUGUUUAUUCUGCGCUUAUUAGGAUGAGUAGAGCAGGACUGGAUGAUUAUUGCUAAAGGAUGAAAUAAAGAGAUUGCAAAGUGUAUCUGUUCUCCCUUUUACUAGCUGCAGUUUUCAAGAAGGCUUCUUUUAAGGCCUAAUUUCAGGCGUGGUGGUGGGGAGACAAGGGGAAGUCCCCUAAAGGCACCAGGGGAGGCCUUUGUGGCUGCAUUUCUGCCCAUGGGCGUGAUGCUGGCAACCCUUCCAACUUCUGUUAUAUUAUAUAUUAUGAAAGAUCUUUAGAAAUAGGUAGCGGGAUGAAUCUCCUCUAGAUAAAUCCAUUCCUCCAUUCACUGAAUUUUUGCCUUUUGUGCAUCAACUCUUUGAUGGAACACUUUGUCUUGAUCUUAAACGGUGUUAUCAAAAUAAGAGAGAUAUUUCUGCAUACAGGAAACCAUAAUAUGCACACAGCAUCCCUUCAAAAUCUCAUGGAUCUUCCCGAAUUGACUAAAUAUGGUAAAUCCACGGCAGGUGGCAGCUUUCAAUAGCAUUACCACUGGGAAAGAUGGAAACAGCAGAACUUCCACUUCAUCUUGGGGGAGGUGGUGGCCUCUAGGAAUGGCAUUCGUACUGCUUUCAGAUAUUUUCAAGCCUGUAGGAUUAGGCGGUUUUAAUGUGACUCCAAAGCCGUUUUGGAAGUACAUUUCUCCCGAGGAUUAGAGUGUGGGCGAGAGAUCUGUAAAUAGUAUUUAUAAAGCUAGCAUAAAUAGCAGGUGCUUUUAACAUGUCUAGCUCAAUAUUGGUUAAGUAUAUGAAAACUAAAUUAGAAGUCCCCCCACUCCACCCAAUGCUUUUUGCAUGGCCACACAGAGAGCCCAUCUGUGUUAAUCUAUUCUUGAAGCUUGUUUCAAGGCAAGGGAAUGGAGUCUUGGACAAUUGCAUUGGGCCUUCUAUCUGCCAAGUGCUUUAGGAAUCAGGUUGCAAUUUUAUAAUGAUGCUGGGGCAGUAAAUGAGCGCAUAGCUGGAUGACACUCAAACUUGUGCCUGUGGUUAGCAUCAGUUAUCACAGAAUAAAUAAGCCCAGCAUAGCCAAUGGUUGAUAAGCAACAUCUGGAGAGCCAAAGGCUCCUGGAUUAGGAGAAGUUGAAAGAUGUGGACUGUGGACUGAAGCAGAGAGGAAAUGUGUUGAAAGCCAACGCUGAAAAGCCAUUACGAAGUCUAUGGCACAGUGGAAGUAGAUUGAAAGUGCAAACCAGAUAUUGAUUAGAUCAGAUGGGAAGUGAACAAGUCAGUGUUCAGGGGUUGAUGAUGCUAAGGCUGAGGUUACAGUGGAGAUUCAGGAUAGAAUCUCCUGGUGUGUGAGGUUGGGUGUAUGUAUAAGCAACUGGGUGGUGUUGGGAGAUGUUUGGAUCAGAACUGCAACGCUGGGAAGGGUGAACAUGUACGUUUUCCCUAGCAGUGCAAAUAGAAGCUUUGAGCGAUAAUUUCCAUCAGGAAAAUGGCAUGGUGGUGGUGGGUACAAAUUUACUGCACCUUUUCCAGUGCCACUGUCCCAGUCUGAAUCACUCACCCCCAUACUACCUCAUCUAGCCUGGCCAAGAAUGAAUGUGUAAUAUAGUCUUGAUGAUUGCAAGAGCUUGCUUUAAAAUGGGGUUGGUGUAUCAGAUGAUGGGUCACUGAGACCCAUUCCUUUGAAGUCUGUUCUUCUUUUCAAACCACUUGCCAACAGACUUUAGCUCUAAUCAGCUGAUGGGAGCUGAGAGCCAUCAACCUGAGGUCUGUUUGCUUGCACUAAGAACUAUCCCCCUUUGAAAGUGAGAUCUUGCAUAAAUCAGCUGAUUGGCACUGAAAGCGAGCCCCUUUCAAGUUAUCACCUCAGACCAUAACUGCAUCAGGUGAUUGACAGGUGGGUGGCCCCAUCCACCUUUCAAGAUUUACCCAUGGAGGGUGGGGAAAGGAUUCAGCUGGUAGGUUGUUCCCCCACUCCUGGUAUAUUAGGGGAGUUUUUAAUGUUUAGUGUUCUGUUUUAUUUGUUUUUUUUAAAUUUUUUAGUCAGGAGCCGCCCAGAGUGUCUGGGGGCAACCUAGUCAGAUGGGCGGCAGAUAAAUAAUAAAAUUAUUAUUAUUAUUAUUAUAUUGUAGUUGCAAUGGGUUUUGUUCAGAAUGCCGUCUAACAAACACACCCAGAGUUCUCCUCUGUACAUUACAGUGAGAUGCAUUUGUGCUACCAACUUGUGUCUCACCUCUUGUCUUCCUGGAAAGGAAAAAAGGAAACCCGCACUCCUUGAUCUGAUGUCCUCAUGUUAGCAUUUUCCAGUUCCCUGCUCUGUUUCCUUCAGUACCGCUUGUGGAAGGUGGGAGAAUGCGUGUGCCGCGAUGUCGCAUCAGACUUUCCUCCCAAUUGCAUGACGUUACUAGGGAGAGAUGUGGGUCAGUAGUGCCUGCAAUGUGUACUUAUCCCUUUACAUGGAGCUUGUCUCUUUCUGUUGAUUCUUUCAAUAGGGGAGGAACAGGCAAAUAAUCCGAAGGGCUGCUCACACGGAAACUGGAGAUUUGCUUAACCCAAAUCCCUCAAGAACGACAUAUGAAUUGAUAUUGGCUGAAUACCUAAAUCAGUCGGCGGCGAAAUGCGAUGAAGUGGUUCUUCCCUCCCCGUUCAAGUGUGGGAGAAUAAGAAAAGCUCUAAUAGAAAUGAAUAGAAAGUGAUGACCUGAUGAGACAAUCGCGCCACAAGGUGUCUGAUUGCACAAAGAGGACACAUUUACCUCUGAGAAGGGGAUUGUGUCGCAAAUACACCCAGCUCAGCUGCCGGAAGGAGGAGGGUAGUGAAGGCAGCCUUGGUCUCUGCUGCGCCCUGUGCAUACAGAAGAGCAUUUUGCUAAUUCAGGCAUCUCAUUAGAAAUCAUUGCCCUACUUUUCCAUACCCCUCAGUUCCAAAAUGCUCCCAAACUGACAGCACUUUUACAUAAAACCACAGGGAAGGCAGUCCCAGAGAAGGAAGGCGGAGUGUAUUCAGACUUUGAGACCCACUUAUAGCCCUGAAAGCUGUCUAGGCAGGGCAUUCUGCUUGGGGAAGAAGUAAAAUCUCAGUAAGCUAUUAUGGGACUGAAGUGCUGCUUGGAGACACACACAAAAAGAAGCAAAGAAUCCCCAGGGGAAAAGCAUCUCUUGCAAGUUUUUGACAGGAGUAGGUGUUCAGGCAGAGAUUCUGUUUUUGUAUUCCUCCCUCCGGCAAAUUUCAUAUAUUUUCUGUUGUUCCUUGAUUUGAUUCCAUUCGUGAGUCACUUCACAUUAAAGAUCUCAAAGUGGUUUUACAGUAAAAACAAAAACAAACCACACAUCAACAAUGAAAACAAUUUGGGGGGGAAAUUCUGUAUGUAAAAAAGAAUUUUAAAAAAAUUCUAUGUAUAAAAAAGAAUUAAAAGCAAUCUCCUAUGUGUAAAUGUAUGAGCCCAUAUGUAUAUGAACUCAAUAUACAUACUGAUUGGGAGAAAGAUCUCAGGUUAAAAGGCUUGUUGAAAAAUAAGGCACCAAAAACGUGUCGAAAAGAGACAGCACCUGUUCCGAUGUGUAACUGAUAUAUGUCACCAUAGCAGAAUAAUUUCCAUAUUGGAUUCUGGUUCCAAUGGUUCUAAGGCCACCACAUGAGGCCACCUCUUUGCUGAAGCUAUAAUAAUAAUAAUGAUAAUAAUAAUAAUAAUAAUAAUAUAUUUGUACCCCGCCCAUCUGACUGGGUUGCCCCAGUCACUCUGGGUGGCUUUCAACAUAUAUAAAAACAUAAUAAAACCUUAAACCUUAAGAAGCCUCAGUGCCUGGAUGGAGUAAUCAGAAGCAUGCAGCCGCAGGUUCCAUGAUGGAUAAAAGGCAGGAUAUAAAUAUAAGAAAAUGAAUAAAUUAUGUUGGCUGUAUUUCGUAUUUGUUUCACAAAUGCCAUUGUUGCUCACCACCAUGCCCCCCCUCCACCCUUGAUGUUGGUGGUUUAGAAACAUUUACACGUAAAUAAAUCUGGGAUGGAAUCCUCAAACGCAGACUAGCACACAAGUGCAUAGGAGAGCAAUCAGUCACCACAGCAUAAGCACAAUGUAUAGUACAGGGGUACCUCGGGUUACAUACGCUUCAGGUUACAUAUGCUUCAGGUUACAGACUCUGCUAACCCAGAAAUAGUACCUCGGGUAAAGAACUUUGCUUCAGGAUGAGAACAGAAAUCGUGCUCUGGCGGCGCGGCGGCGGCAGGAGGCCCCAUUAACUAAAGUGGUGCUUCAGGUUAAGAACAGUUUCAGGUUAAGAACUGACCUCCGGAACGAAUUAAGUUCUUAACCCGAGGUACCACUGUACACUGGCUUCAGUAGCUGGCAGCUUGGUGGGGUGUCAGUACCUCCAAUUGGUCACGUUGCUGCUGCUUACGGGGAGGUAGAGAGAGGGGUGCAGUGGCAGUGAGGCUGAUGGUGUGUAAAUGCACUGGCAGAUUGCACCGCAAUGUGUUUGCACCUGUCAGGUGUGGAGAAUCCUCUCCUCCACCAGUAGCAUCAGAGGCAAGAAUAACAUGCAGUUCGUAAUUUAUAGAGCUUUUAUUCAGUCAUCUGGCUGAGAGACAAAGAAUCCAUAUCUCCACACAUGAAGAGAAGUUGGCUACUCUGAGCCCCUCCUCUUCCGUCCCCAACAACAUCCUGAAAGUUUACAGGAAGUCCCCGGAGUCAUACUCCUUCACAUUCUUUGUUCUUGAAUGCGUAGGGACCUAGGAGCCCUUGGGGAGUCAGGAUCUUCCAGACUCUCCAGGGAGGUCUCUGCUGGCUGCUCCCCCUCCUCCUCCACUAUGUCAUAACUAGGCAUUUCUUCCUGCAGCUGUGAAGCAGCCCUUUCUCCUUCUGAAAUGAUGGGGGGGGGCUGUUCACUCCUCUUCCCCUUCAGAGAGAAGCUGAUCAGGCUGAGGGAAAACUUCUCAGUCCUCCUGUUCAGUCCAGUUCCUGACAUCACCACAGUGACCUUGCCCUCUCUCCCUGCUCCCUCUACCUCCCAGGAAGCAUCAGCACAACCAACUGGAGGUCAGCGGUGUAGCUCUGUCACACUAGGUAAGGGUAAAGGAAAAGGACCCCUGGACAGUUCAGUCCACUCAAAGGCGACUAUGGAGUUGCGGUGCUCAUCUCGCUUUCAGACCAAGGGAGACGGUGUUUGUCCACAGGCAGCUUUCCAGGUCAUUUGGCCAGCAUGACUAAACCUCUUCUGGCUCAACGGGACACCGUGAUGGAAACCAGAGCGCACGGAAAUGCUUUUUCCCUUCCCACCGCAGUGGUACCUAUUUAUCUACUUUCACUGGUGUGCUUUUGAACUGCUAGGUUGGCAGGAGCUGGGACAGAGCAACGGGAGCUUACUCUGUCGUGUGAAUUCGAACUGCUGACCUUUUGAUCAGCAAACCCAAGAGGCUUGGUGGUUUAGACCAUAGCGCCACCCGUGUCCCCAUCCGCUAAUGGCUCACUUUGUGGGCACAUCUGAUUAAGAACACACAAACUAUUUUAAGGUAAUAGCUCAAGAUGGCAGGCUCAGGCAGGCUGCUUGAUAAACUGUCUCUGAAUUUUGGUAUCUCCCAGUAUCUCUGUUUAUUCCACUUUGACCAUCAGAUUUUAAUAUCUUCCUACCAGAGCUGCUGAGUCAUCCUGAUCUUCUUAAAAACAAAAAGCCUUUGAAGCUGAGGCACGACAACAGAACUGUGUGAAGUGAAUCCAAACACUUUACUAUCCUUCCUCCCGUUUCAGUGCCAGAGACUUUAUCUGUGAAAAUAAAAUAAAUCAAAGCCGUGUGGCGUGUCUAGAUGUGAUUCUGCUUGGCAUUGUCUGUCUAUGUCGGUCCUCUCUCAUUCUGGUAUAGGGUAUGGAAGAUCCAAAUAAAGAUGAUUUCAAUACAUAUUUCAAAAAAAAUAAGUCUAUCACAGAGGACUGUUUUUAAAGGAAGCAUCCAGAUGUGGAACUGCCUCCGUCUUCAUAACAGUGUUGCAGAGCCUGCAGAGAAAAAGAGUUCUCACUCUUUCAUGUGUUCAAAAUGUUCUGUGCAUGCAGCAAUAGAGCUUUAGAGGAAAUGUCCCUCUAUUUGUCAAGCCAUUUCCCCGCUGUCUUUUAUGCUGUUCCUUAAGACAGAGUACCGUAUUUUUUGCUCUAUAAGACUCACUUUUUCCCUCCUAAAAAGUAAGGGGAAAUGUGUGUGCAUCUUAUGGAGCGAAUGCAGGCUGUGCAGCUAUCACAGAAGCCAGAACAGCAAGAGGGAUUGCUGCUUUCACUGCACAGCGAUCUCUCUUGCUGUUCUGACUUCUGAGAUUCAGAAUAUUUUUUUUCUUGUUUCCCUCUUCCAAAAACUAGGUGCGUCUUGUGGUCUGGUGCGUGUUAUAGAGCGAAAAAUGCGGUAUUUAGCAAAGACAGGGGGGGGGCAGUGAAUAUCUCUGCCCCAUGACACUUUCCAGAGGGUGCCAAGCUUUCAGCCUGUCAGCUAGAGGGGGAGGGGAGUGGACCUUUGCUUGCACCCGUGCUCCUUGAGAGAACAGAUAACCAUUUCUCUCCUCUCCCUCCCAUCUUAAUCCUUCAUUUACAGAGCAUUCAGUGAGUCAAAAGACAGGUAACAAGGGAACAAUGGCUUGACAAUCAAGGCAGCAGGGAGCCCCAUAAACCCUGCAGGGUGGCCGUUGCCAGCCUGAUAAAGAGAAACAUAGUCCUUGUUUUGAUUCUAAACUCAGCUUUAUUUCUCCACUGUAACAUUCUUUGAUUUCUAAAUGUAAAAAAUGUAUCUGGGCAAAAGACUGGAUAUUGUGUAUCUAGAAGUGUGUCUUGAGAAGUGUGGUUACAGGGAACUAGGCAGAGGGCCUUCUCGGUAGUGGCUCCCGCCCUGUGGAACGCCCUCCCAUCAGAUGUCAAGGAAAUAAACAACUAUCUGACUUUUAGAAGACAUCUGAAGGCAGCCCUGUUUAGGGAAGUUUUUAAUGUUUGAAGUUUUCUUCUGUUUUUAAUGUUCUGUUGAAAGCCGGCCAGAGUGGCUGGGGAAACCCAGCCAGGGAACCCGGUGAAGUAGAGUCUCAGGUAGAGUUAAUAAUGAACAUUAAAGUUAAUUUAAAAUACAAACAAGUUUUAAAAUAUAUUCAAAACGCUGUCACUCUAUUCCCUCUUAGUCUUGUUCCUGUCUCUAACUCAUUCUGACUCCUCUAUCUCCCCCCCAAAGGAACCAACCAAACUAACUGUCAAAACCUCUGGGCUGAGCCUCAAAAUCAGGUAGGCUCCGCCCCCAGGCUUUCUUAUUGGUCAACCUAUUAACCCUUUCUCCCCCCAAUACAAAUGUAUCCCCAAAGAACGGGCAAACGCCACACUAUGCCUCACGUUUCUGAUGUGGGUCAUUAUGUGGGUCUGGCACUGUGGGAGGGCAUGGAAAAGGCAAGUCCACUAGGCUUUACAGCCACCUUCAUCAUUCCUGGUCAACGGAUGACUCAAGGAGAGAUCUAAUUGAGUGGUGAGUUCUUUGAGUGUGGGGAGAAUUUGCAUUGGCCAAAAUUCCCCCCACUUUAAUCUUACAUCUGUUGUUAUUAUGAUUAUUGUAUUUAUAUAUUUGCACUCUUCCUUCUCUCUUUAGAGUCAUGAGAACCAGUGAUAAGCUUGUUGUAAAUAUGUGCGUUGGCUUUUUCAGAUUCAGAUCUCACUCCCCCUUCUGCUUUAACCAUGUUAUUUACAAUUCUUUAUAUUAAUGGGGAAGGACUUGAGACUUACAGUGUGUAACAACUUUUAAAGACUUUAACUAAUCUCUAAAAAAUAAUCCAAUGCCAUUUUAAAAUGUGUUGGAGUGGGUUAUUGAAUUGCUUUUGCUUUUAUUUUGAUUAUGUAUUUUGUGUUUUUAUAUUGUGAUUUUAUUUUGUGAACUAGCCUGAGACCUGCGGUUAUUGGGCAGUAUAUAAAUUUAUUUAUUUAAUUAAUUGUUACUAAUUUCCCAGUCAUCCUAGAUAUGCAACAGGAUCUUAGGAAAACAAGAUAAGUUAGACAAACACACCCAGGUGUUUUAACCUCAUGUUUUUCUGUGCAAACCCUUUCAAUUCAGCCUGGCUGACCAGUGCUUGCCAGGGAACUGUAUUUGUCAGGAAACAAAAAGAGGGGUGGUAAAAGCCUCAAAAAUACCACACACAGAGAGAGAGAGAGAAACCAGAAGAACUUGGCUGCUCUUAUGGAAAUGAAGCCUUGUAACCAAAGAAAUCCAAUUCAAAACCUGACCUCAGAUAGACAAUUGCUGCACAUGGAAGCUCUACUUUUAACAAACAAUUUACUUUUUCCCUUUGGUCAUCCAGUCAUAAUACUUCUUAGAAUUCCUCAAAUGAUCUAUUACUCUGAGGAGAUCUACUUUAAGACUGAAUGAAAGCCAGAUACAUACACAGACAAGUUUACUAUUUGGAGAGGCUAUCUCUUCUCCAGCCUCUUUCAAACUACUUUCUAUGCCCUUUAUGAACAAAUGUGUUGAGGUGUGUGUGUAUGCAAACCCACAUGGGGUGUGUGUGGCAAGGCUAGUUUCUGCCCUGAGCAAAGGCUUCCUAAAGGUAACACACCCAAGCCUUAAAAAAACCCCAAAGCUCUCUACCCCACUUAACAACUCAUCCCCAUUACCUGCUGUCUUUUCUUUAACUUGCAUUCUUUUCUUUUUCAUGCCAAUGUACCGUAUUUUUCGCUCUAUAACACGCACCCGACCAUAACACGCACGUAGUUUUUAGAGGAGGAAAACAAGAAAAAAAGUAUUCUAAACGAAACAGUGGAUGUAUUAUUUUUGUGGUUCAUGCUGUGGCCACAGACAUGUGAUCUGACAGUGAGUUUGGAGUAGCCCAAUGCAAAAAUCCUGAGGAUCCAUGUGGAUCCAUGCUUUGUAAACACGUUUUUGCACCACUGUGGCCCCAGGCAACGGUGGGUGCGUGAUUUUUUUGGUGCAAGAUGUAGCCAUGGACAUGUUAUGUGAUGGUGAAUUUGGGGUGACCCAGUGCAAAAAUGCUGAGGAUCCAUGUGGAUCCGUGCUUUGUAACCACAUUUUAAGUGGGGAGGGAAGGAAAAGCACUCAAGGGACAAGGAGAAGGAUGCUGCUAAUAAUGAAGAAGAGGGAUAUAAGGGGAGAAGGCUCCUCUCCUCUCCCGCUUUGCUCCUUUAAAGCAAGCAGGCUCUCUGUCCCUCUCUCCUCCCCACUCAGCGGCUCUUCUCCCGCUUUGCUGUUUCAAAGCGAGCCACGGAGGAGGGAAGGAAGGGGAACCAUGGAUCCUCUGCUCACGACUGCAGCAGAUCCCCCCCCCCGCCACCCAUAGGCAUUCCCUCCAUAACACGCAUAGACAUUUCCCCUUACUUUCUAGGAGGAAAAAAGUGAGUGUUAUGGUGCAAAAAAUACGGUAAGUAGUGCCACGACCAUGCAAAUCUUUCUGGCAUCUAGCACGCUGCUAGCACUAUUAGUAUUGUGAAUUAGUCAUCUAUGGUGCAACCGCAUUUGGAAUGCUGUGUGCAGUUCUAAUAAUAACCCCAAAUAAUACAGGAACAUAGGGCACUAGCUGCCUUAUAUCGAGUUCUGUAUAUCCUCUUUCCUGUAAUUGGGGCCUCAAUCUCCUUGCCUCCCCAAACUAGACCUGAAGAUGGCCCAGGCAGAAACCAGGAGAUUUUGCAAGCAGAAAGAUGCUUGCAAAGCAAAUCAUUCCCAGAAGUCUUAAGCAAGGAGGAUUUUCUUUUAGCCAUUAGGAAAAAGUGCGGAUAUUCUUCAAAGGGAACAUUUUACGGUGUGGUGAUAGUGGCCACGACACUAUAUUGUGAAAAGAGGAUUAUUCAAUGAGGGGAAAGUCAAGCAGUUCCAUAGUCAUCUCUCCCCCUCCCACAUUUCUUAAGUCAGUCAUUUCCUCCCUGAAAUUUAGGAAAUGCUAGUAGGCAGCCCUGUGAUAUUAAAUGUUUUGUCUAAAUGAAUUUCCACUCUAGUGUAGUGGAAGACAGCAGGAACCCCAUUAAUCCUCCAGGUUUUAAGUGUCAAGCCCAGCCAAGAAGUCUCAACUGGUCUCAGACCUGACUAUGUCAACAGUGAACUCAGGCUCAUUUCUCCAGGAAAUAAAUCAGGAAUAACUUUUAAAUGAGAAUAUGGGCACCUCCAGACUGUUGCUAUUUUUAGGUGGGAUUCAAUCACGUACUGGCAAACUCAGGUUGCACAAUUCAACUUGAUUAGAUUUCCCCUGCUCCCCAAAUUGGACUUGCGAUGGGAGAGGGAUGGGAAAAUAUGCUCCAAAGAGUCAGAUGACAAUGGCUUGGAGAAACACUGUAGAAUUUUCCUGCAAAUAAACCAAUAGGCAGUGUGAUGGCCUGGGAAUCUGAUUCAGAAGCUGAAUCUGAGGAGUCCCAGCCUGCACAGGAGUCCCCGCCUCCAGGGCCGGCUGAGCCGGGGCAGGGGCUUGAAUCUGAAGGGCCUGCACCUGUGCCGGGUCCUCAGGAGCAGACACCAGAUGUAUCCACUCUGGCUCCGGAGGUGAUUGAGGACCCAUUGCCUGCAGGUGCGCCUCUCCCAGCCCUGUCAGGGGAAGGUGAAGCUGCCCCUGGGUCCAGUAACCCUCCAGCCUCUCCUGAGCUGCAGAGGCUCAGGGCAGAGAGGCGGAGGGAACUAAGUGCUCUCAGGAGGAGUGCUCGCCCUAAGGCCAGGAGAGGCGGGUCACCUGUGGGCCGGGACCGCCCCUGGCCUCAGGGGAGAUAAAAGCCAGUCAGCUCAGUCCCAGGUUGCGGGAGCAAUGACAUUGGAAACCUGUUUCUGCCAGCACCCAGACCUGUUUUUCCGGAGUUCCCAACCACGCCCUGCUUCUUGCUUUGGACCCCGCUUCCCCCUUGGUGGACAGUCUCCAGACCCUCGGCCCAGGACCGGACUCUGACCACGCCUCAUGGUAACACCCCCCCCCCGGGACCAGCACAGGCAGUCAAUGAAGUAGUAGUAGUAGUAGUAAUUUAUUUAUACCCCACCCAUCUGGCUGUGUUUUCCCAGCCACUCUAGGUGGCUUCCAACAAUGUCAUCUGACCUCCGUGAAAAAAAUUGUGCAAACGAAUCAGGAUGAAUAAAGUGGUCAUCCAGAAGCAGGCAUGGUGGAAUCUGGCCAAUUUCAUUUUCUCAUUUAUUUCAUUUCUCUAAUCUUAAAUUCCUUUCUCCUGAUUUCUAUAGGAGUUAGCAUUUAAAAAAAAAUAAAUAUCUGCAUGAAGAUUUACCAGCAUUUUAGUGUGAAAUUAUUUUAUUAACAGUAUUUGGAGCCUGCUCUUCAUCGAAUAUUUUCAAAGUAAUAAAAUGAAAUAGAGAAAAAUAAACAUUUGUCAUGAGUCCUGAGCCACUCCUGGGCUCAGGAGUGGAGUGGCAGACUGUGAUGGAAGUGAGGGGUGGGGCAGAGGCUGGAGGAGGGGGGGUUUCCCCCUCCUAGGAGGCAGUUGACUGGCUAGGGAAGCAGGAUUCACAUCUCCCCUCUUCUCUCCUGUGUGCUACAACGGAUUCUAGGGAUGGUGUUAGCCCACCACUAGGAGUGGAGGAAUCAAAAUCAGAAGGAAAGAGCACAGCUAGGUAACCCAGAGCCCAGCAGCAGCCCCAUAGCUGGGAGCCAAUACAUCCUCCAUGACACAAUGAGCACCUGCAUUAGGCUUGCCAUAUUUCAAAAAGUAAAAUUCCUAACCCCUGCAAAGUUCCCUGAUAUUGUGCCGAUUCGACAAAAUUCCCCCUGACGCCAUUUUUACUCACGAAAAUGAGGACAUGUCAGGAAUUUUUCUGACGUAUUACAAGUCUAAACUCCAUGCUUCACAAUCCCACAGGGCACAGGAGUCUCACAAGUAAGCAUGCCUUGCCCUGUCUUUAACAGCUUGGCUGGUGGGUGUGCCCACCCAUUGGGACAACUCCAUUGCUUCUGUGCAGUUGUGAACUUUUUGUCCUGAUGUUGCCCUGGGCUCCUCUCUUUGCACAAUAAUGGACCUGAACUGGAACUAGUUUCUUUAAAAAGUGUAGUCUCCACAUGCUGGAUUGAGGGACGCAAGUUAGAUGUAACUGAGCUGAAGAAAAGAGGCACCGAUCACUGACAAAGCCACUGUGUUGACACCUUUCCAAAGAGGUCCCUUCAAGAGGGGAUUUACUACAUCCAUCUCAUUCCUGUUUAAAGAAGACAAGCACCAGGAUGAUUUAUUUUCACCAUGCGAGUGAUGUUUCCUCUUGUGCUACGAAAACAGUUUUUGCAAUGUGCAGGAAUGGCCAAGCGGUGUGGGGUUAAUAAUGAAUGCAGUGCUUAAUGUGUGGUCACUGGGCCAAUCAAAAUAUCUCGUGCUGCUUAAACUGUUAAUGUUUUUUCAAAGCUGGCCCCGAGCAUCAGGCUGAAGCACUAAAUAAGGCACAUAAGUGGCAGACACCUUAGCUCGGCUAUGCCUGGUUGCUCUGCGCUUUGUUUUAUUAGCUGAAGGAAGCAUGCUAGGGCAAAACACAAACACUUGGCACUUCGUGGACUGUACAAAAUCUUCAAGGGCCUAGGUAGAGAAUGGCCAUUAAAAAGAAAGCGUCGUGCGAAUGUCCAUGUGCAAGGUUUCCAAGGCAACGUGCAGCCGAGAAUUUGUAUUCUGUUAGGCAGUGUCAAAGGCAUAAACUCUUUGACCUUCCCUCUAAUCACAGCACUUGUAAUGGGAAUAUGUAUUAAAUGUCUCCAACGGCCAAGCCUAAUUUGAACAACUGUGAAAACACUGCUAAUUGCAGAAAGGCUUUGGUGAUUUAAAUAGGAAUAACUUAAGCCUCCUUCUGAACAGGGCAUUAUGGACCAAAUGGGGAAUACACCAUGUGCCAAAGGGCUCUGCUCAUCUGCAUGGAUUAAUGCACUGUUAUUAACAUAUCCUGCAUAUCAUUUUUAUCCAAUGGAUAGAGUGCGACUAGUGGAACAUCUUACUGUGAGGUACAAAAAAACCCCUCAUGCACCGCAGUGUGGAAAGGUUAGGGGUGGGGAACUUGUGGCCCUCCAGAUUUUGCUGAGCUGCAACUCCCAUCAUUCCUCACCAUUGGCCAUGCUGUCUAGGGCUGAUGUGAGUUGCGGUUCAGCAACAUUUGGUUCCCCAUCCCUGGUCCAGAUGGAGAAAGCAAACGGGAGGCAGGGUGUGCACGAGACCUGGAAUGUGUCCGAGACUCGUGUCGCUAAUUGACUGAUACUGUUUCCAUGGGAGGCCGGGAGAUGACGUGGAGGCAUGAUGGCCUUUGUCUCCCUGGCAGUAUCGCAACAGGAGGAAGGGUGUGUGGUGGGGGUGGUCUGCCCCGGAUGUCACCACUGAGAGGGGUGACAAAAUGCCAGGAGGCACUCACCGUGUGGCCUGCAGUGCGCCUGAGCCACUCAUCUCGCAGGCUCCAUGCUGGCCCAAACAAUCUGCUCCCCCUCAGCUAUAGGGCAGCUGAGUGGGAGCAGGCAGGCAGACUCCUCAGAGGCCCCAUGGAGCGUCCUGCCCCGGCUCGCCCCACCCCACGGCAGCUGGCCCUACCCCUGGGCGCAGGGCAUGCGCACCACCCCAGGUGCCCGAUUGGCUUGCUCCACCACUGAUGGGAGGGGCAAAUUGUAGGGUUUUGCAUGCAUGUCUAUUGAGUCCUUUAUUGUCAGUUUGAUUUUGUGAUUUAAAUGCUGGCUUGGCUACCGAAAAGGGGAAAGGCAUACAUAUGUUAAACAAAAUCAUAGUCUUUGAUAAUAUGGCUGGAGAAAGCUGAUCCUGGAGCUCUUCUCCCCAGAGCAGUAUAAUCCAGAGUAAAACAGAGGGGCAAAGUCUGUGCCAUCAAAGUCCUGAGGACUGAUUGAUUUAAGACAUAAUGGCAUGGUUGCAAAAAACCCCUGUUGAGCCCUGAUCUCCAGCAGGAUGAGAUUGCAGGAGCGGGUCUCAAGCUAUAGGCAGUCAAAAAAACCAGCAGCAUAAAUCUUAAAUUCAGUUGACCAGUGCAGGUACUACCUAGAAUGUUGAUCUAUGUUCCUACUACUUUUCAGACAAGAUUGUGGUUUCCCUUUGCUUUUGGGUGAAAAUAAAGAAUUUAUUUCUUCAGAAAGGCUCAGAAUCAACCUUACCAAGACAUUGCAUAAGCAGAGUAAGUUUUCCAAUUGCCAACAAGUAACUCAACAUAAUGGAUGCUCAGUUGGAUCCUCAAUGCGCUGGAACAAUAAAUUUAACAUGCUGAUAAGAACCCACAGAGAACUAAAUAGAAAUGAUGGACACUGAAGGGUCCCUCCCUGUUUUUUCCUUUCCAAAGAAACAGGCUUCUAUUGCUUUUGCAGUUUCUUCCCUUACUACUUAGGGCUGAGAAUAUCACAAGAACAGACUUUCACACUAAAUGUUGGCAGUUCUGCUUCGGGACCCAUCUGUCCUGCUUUGGAACCUAAGAAAAAUAGAUUAGCCUGAGUUGAUUUUAGGAGGUGGGGUUUUUUGGCAAAGGCAGAAGGAUUGCCAGUGGGAAGACUGUGGCUCUCAUUAUAUCCAAGCCAUUUCACCUGUCAAUCUAACUUCCCGUUCUCAAAAAAGUAGAAUUCAAAAUAGGCCAGAACAAGCGUUGUUAAAAUGGAUGUAAAUCCACUGAUUUCAAGGGAACCACAUAAUUUUACGCCAUCUGGGCAGAUGGUUCUCAGGAUUAGACACAAUUAGUAGUGUUUUUCCUACGUUGAAUCAGUUUCAGAAGCUGUCCUCUAGGAAUGAUCUAAUGAAUUUUUCAAAGCCAAACUCACCAAAAUAAACAACUUGCUUCUUCUUUCCAGAAUACAUGGGUGCAUGAAUGUUUGACUGGAUUAAGAUUUGUGCUAUCGUUUUUUAAAGGCUCCCUAUAGUUGCCACCUGCUCCUGGAAUCUCACCCAUCAGUGGCUUCAAGGGCUCUUUUUGCAUAUGAACAUAUGAAUCAGCAUCUUUCUGCAUGGUGAUUUAGUUUUGCAUAACAAAUAUGCAGAAUUCCUCCUUCCCUUCAUGAGAAGUUCUGCAUUAUUGUAAACAUAAUAAUCCAUCCUCAAGUAUUGUUAUAUCAUCAGGGUGCAGGAGGGCACAGUGGGAAGAGCAUGGGACUCCUGAGUGGGUACAUCCCUACUGAAAAAGGAUAGCAUCUCAUCAACGUUUGCCUGGUUGCAACACUUCCUUCUGAAGGCAAGAUGCGUUCUGGAGCCGAAGAGCUCUGAAUCAUUCAAUAAGAGUCAGAAAUCUGCUUCCUGCUUGUUGGGUGGAUUUUGCCCAUGAUACUCUCUUAUCCACCAAGCAGAUCAUCAGAUUUGUUUUGAUCCAGCUGAGUCACGGGCUGUUAAGCCUUUUCAUCCUAUAUGCAAAUGGGGAGAAGUGCAAUCUUGUGGCAUCCCUAUGAUUCCCCCUUUACAUAAUUAUAUAAUGUUAGGGCACUUUGGACAGCAAACAAGCAAGCAGUUUCUGUUGGAGUGCAAUAGGUAUCAUGCCCUACAACUAUACUCAUUACCAUGGGCGCAAUAUCUAGAGUCUUGGGACAGUAUCUUAUUUCUCAAUAUACUCCCACUCGCUGGAUCAGCACCUUGUCAUGGUGAGUGGGCUUGCAUGUUCCUAUGACCCUUGUGAGCGAAGCCGUUGGGAAUCUCGUACUCCCAGCAGGGUCACCCAAGGCGGUAAGGUCAAAGGGAAGGAGCUAGACAAAGAAUGAUCCAAGAAGUCCUCAAUGGCAGAACAGGCGGAUGAUAACAAGCAGUAUGUUACAAUGGUUGUGAAGGAGGAUGAAGGCUGCAGCAGAUAGGAAUCCAGUGGUUUGUCGUGACUACUGCAUGCCAUCGGAACAGAGCCCUACUGCGAAGACUGUGUGUUGGUCAGCAUGCACUGAUCUACACACAUAAAACAAAUUCAUCCACAGGUGUCUUCAAAAAACCCAACCCAAACCCCAAAAGUCCCAUGGAGAUCAGCAAAUGGUAACGGGGGCAGGAUUGUGAAAUCUGGAAGCCCCUAAUCAUGAACCGGCACAUGGGUGGUGGAUACAGAUUCAGUCGUUCUGACUCAAGGAACGAGGCAGUUGAGCAGCUUAGCAGCUGUAUCCAUGACUGAGCAGCCCUUUUUAGGCUCCACUCUGCUCACCCUGAAAAGGGGGAGGGGCUAGAAAAGGUGCCCUAAACAUAGUCUGCCUCCCUUUUUCCCUGACUGGAUUACCGCGCCCAGUGGGGUCACCACCUAGCGGUCGUAAAAGACAAAUGAACUUUGUAACAUGGAAUAUACGGACUUUGUCAGAUAACACAGACAGCGAGCGUCCUGAAUGCAGAACUGCCAUCAUUGCAAGAGAGCUGCAACGUUUUAGCAUUGAUAUUGAAGUGCUUCAAGAGACUCGAAGAACAGGUGAGGGACAACUGAAGGAAGAAAAAGGAGGCUACACAUUCUUCUGGAAAGGUCUAUCUGAACAAGAACAUUGAAUACAUGGGGUUGGCUUCGCUAUCAAAAAUGACAUUGUGAAGCUCAUGUCAGAAGUCCCUACCAGCAUUAAUGAGUGACUCUCAACCCUUUGAAUAAAGCUCACUGCAGCUUACCUGCCAACUGUCUUGGUUUAGCUGAGUCAGUAAUAAUGGAGAUGUGAUAUUUAGAUGGGCCUAUGGAACAACCAAAGGUAAAAUAACAUUGGUGCCUGUUUUUCUGUAUCUUGAGCUUGGGGAAACCAUUUGUUGAGAGAGCAGCUGUAUUUUCUUUGCCAUGCUAAUAUGAGAAGCUAUCAUGCUGGCACAUUUAGCAUUGCUAACAUACUGUACUUUCCCCCUGACCGAUGCCAGAAGAUCUGCCUGAUAAUGAUGCGUACUUGCAUGAACAGGCAGAAUGCAACAACAAUUAAUUCUGCACACUAGGCAGAAGCCAGACAGCGCAGUGUUAAUCAUUCGCUGGAUGUAAAUUUGACAGGCUGCUUUCGCUGGCACUUAAGAGGGCUUUUAAGCCUGCCAUGUCUGUGCACAUCCAGCAGAUUUUGGCACUUUGAAUUCCAUGUCAACUGAUGCUUCAUUGUUGGCAGGGGGCAGAACAGGCACUUUGCUUUACUCAGGGAAAGCAAAGGUAACUUCACACACAGAGGAUACCCCUGAAACACUCCAUACAGAUCAAUCUUUACUUAGCAGGUAGCAUAGGAGCCAACUCCUAGGAGCUGAGGUCCCUUUGCCCCCCCAAUAAAAUAUUUGAGUGGGCUGGGUCCCCCCAAAGUUGAUGGGCAUUGCCAUUCAAAUGGGGUAUGCGUGCCUCAUUAUGUGAUUGAUUAUGCAAAGUGGGGCUUACCUGGGUUCCCCAAUAUCUUAUUCAAGUUGGCACCCCUGUCAGGUAAGGAUCAGAAUGUGUGGAGUUUGAGAAAGCAAGAAAAGGAAGCUCACUCACUGUCCAUCUCACAACUAAUAUGCACUUCCUAUGUGACUUCUUAUUAUAGACCAGGAUUAGAGAACCCCUUUCAGCUUAGAAUCAUAGAAUUGUAGAGUGGGAAGAAACCAUGAUGAUCAUCUAGUCCAACCCCUUGCAAUGCAGGAAUCUUAAGCUUGAGGGCCAAGUGGGGGGUGGGGGGUUAAGAGGCAGAAAUGGGCUGAGCAACAAAUUUAAGUUACCGUAUUUUUCCGUCUAUAAGAUGCCCCCAUAUUUUGGGGGUACUCAGAUUUAAGAAAAUGGGGUGAGAUGUAUCAGUGUAUAAGACGCCCCCUAAUUUUUGACAUUAUUUUUUAAGGAAAAAACCUAGUCUUAUACAUGGAAAAAUAUGGUACCUUUGUGCAGUAGGCUACUUUAUUCACACACACACCUUCUUCAGCUGUAGUUUGUUAAGGUUGCUAAGAAUUGCUAGGAAACACCUAUUUCCAUCUCAAAACUAUAAUUCCCAGAGUUCCCUGGGAAGAAGGCCUGAUUGCUAAACCACUCUGGGAGUUGUAGCUCUGUGAGGGGAAUAGGGAUCUCGUAACAGCUCUCAGCACUUUUGAGAAACUGCAUUUCCCAGUAACCUUUGGGGGAAGCAAUGACUGUUUAAUGUGGUAUGAUACAGCUUCAAAUGCAUAGUGCAGAUUGUGUGUGUCUGUGUGUGUAGGCAAUUAUAUUUGUCUCUAUAAAUUUUUGAAACAACACAUUUUCAGUUAACAACAGAAGUUAUCCACAAUUCGACAUACUUCUGUUGUUUUCCGAGUUAUCAGAAGUAGUCUAACGGAAAACGCAAAUUAACAAAAUAAGUCAUGAAAAAAUCCCAAAGUGGCAACUGAAUAGUCUAUAUAUGCACCUCUGGUAUUUCUAUUUCCUUCUGGAAAAACUCCCUCCUCAUACAUCACUUGUUGCAGAUUCCACAGCGACGCCACAUGCUUUUGCAACAGCUGCCUGCAUAGCUCUCUUUCUCUCUCACACGAAAUCUUGGGAGUCUGUUUGCAUGGACUUGAUUGUGUGGCUGCACAUCCUGCAUGCAUCGGAUAGCUCAGUGCCACAGCUAAUUUCUACCCACUCAAGAGAACUUAAAUACCAAAAAACCUUCUCAUUCCUGGGAGCAGCCCAACAUUAAAAUUCCUCUGUCGAAGUUGUUUGGAUCGGCCUCCUUCCCCAACCCUGGUACCCUCCAGAUGUCUAGGAACAAGCACCAUCAACUCCACCCAACAUGGCAAAUAGUGAGGAACGGUGAGAGCUGUAGUCUAAUAACAAUUUAGGGGAGACUGUUUCCGGUUCUCGUCACACAACAUGCAAAAUCAGCUAACCUCUACAGUGAUAAUGUACUUUGUGCUUUGUUGACAUACUGAGAUGUUAGACAUCCUGUGGUAAUCUUCUUUUAGAGGGGGUGAGGCAUUGCAUUUUUGGACAAGCACUUUUAAGAACCUUGUAUUGCACACCCCUUUAAAUUUGGCUUUUCAUUUACUUUAUUUGUUUUAUUUUGUUGCUAAAUCACUUUGAGACAUACCUUUGUAGUAUAAACCAACUGACAGAUGUAAACAACAACAACAACCGCAUAUUUACAUGUUCCGUGGAAGUGAAAGAGGAAUCGGAGGGUCUAUGUCAGGGGUCAGCAAACUUUUUCAGCAGGGGGGCGGUCCACUGUCCCUCAGACUUUGUGGGGGGCCAGACUAUGUGUUUUUUUUGGGGGGGGGAGAAUGAAUUUCUAUGCCCCCCAAAUAACCCAGAGAUGCAUUUUAAAUAAAAAACACACAUUCUACUCAUGUAAGAACACCAGGCAGGCCCCACAAAUAACCCAUAGAUGCAUUUUAAAUAAAAGGACACAUUCUACUCAUGUAAAAACAAGCUGAUUCCCAGACCAUCUGCGAGCCAGAUUUAGAAGGUGAUUGGGCCGGAUCCAGCCCCCGGGUCUUAGUUUGCCUACCCAUGGUCGAUGUCAAGAAAGAACCACCGCUCACAGCAGUUUGUGAAGAAAUAAACAGAGAAGUUUUGUCCUUCCUUCUUUAGGCUUUAUACAUACAGUAGAAAACUCUUUCAGAGCCACACAGCCAUCACAGCAUGUGCUUCCUCACUAGAAACCAUUCAACUCUGCUUGAUUGCUAAGCAACACCCCCCCCCUUAACUGACUUACUGAUAGCAGAAUUAACCCUUAAGUUACAGACUGAAUGAUCCCUACUGUUGCCCUACCAGCAGAUACACAGUCUAGUUGUUAAGGUUGUAUCUCUAUCAGGGUCAUGGCCAAAGGGAGUUGCAGAAAACCAACCCUAGAUCUUUCAAUGAGCACUAGGCACACUUCCAUAGUCUUGCUUCUCCUUUGCAGGAGAGUUAUGAUUACUACCACUGUAAGUAUUUUGUCUUAGCGGCUUUCAGUUAGGCUUGAGCUAAGAAGCAAUAAGAAUUAAUGCAUGACUGUGGCACGGGUCUUAAAGAACUGUGCCAGCGACACUGUCUUCAUUUAUUUCACCGAGGUUUCUGCCAAGGCAUCACUUCAAGAACUGGUCUAUUGAGAGCAUAAAUGCUGAUGCUGAUUUGCCACGUGUGUGUGUGUGUGUGUGUGUGUGUACCAAAUGGCCCAAUUAUUCUUCUCUUCAGUUCCUUCUCCCUUAAAAAAAACCCCAUCAGAGCAUUUAAGCCAAGAACAGUACGGUAUAAUUAAUUACAUGAUGUGUGCAAUAGAUCUUCUAGAACUUAUUCUUUCAGUGUGUCGUGACUGUUUUUAAUUAUAAUUCUUCUCUCAGCUUUGCAAAGCUUAUAAUUAUGGAGAGAUACAUGUGUGCCUGUAUCUGCUGAGGGACAUGGAAUAAGUACAGAUGAUAUCUCAUCAACUCUUCUUUUUUUCAGAAAUGUUCUGCAGGCUGAGGCUUUUGGAUUUCUGAAGGCUUUUUGUCUGGCAUAUAGGUCUUCAGAGCAAAAAAUAAGGCAGAAUGGGUCUGUGUUCUUACAUGUUCAAGUUUGUUGACUUGCCAUCAGUUUGCUGUGACAACAAAGGAAACUUCCAGGUAGAAGGAUCCCAGGCAAGCCAAAUUGAAAUGGAUCUUAGCGGACAUGCUGGGUGGAUUCUUGCCAGCAGGUUACAAUCUUCAUUGAAAUGACCCCUGAAAAGAUACACCGAAGGUUCAAAAGGCUUAUAGUUUAUUCUUAUUAUCCUGUAGAAGAGAGGUGAGGAACCUUUGGCCUGGAACCUGAAUGUGGUCCUCCAGAUUUUCCAUCUGGCCCUUGAGACUCUCCCCAGAUCAUGCCUCUCACUGUUCCUGCUCCAUGUCUCCCUCAGGUGCUUUUGCCUGACUGGGUACAUCCUUGAAGUGAGGCAGUGCCUGUUGCAUCAGGAGGGAGAGAUAUUGUCAGGGGUUCAGGGACAGAGGCACAGGGUAGGCAGGAGAUGGAGAGCGAUGGGGAUGAAUCCCAGGACAGCGAGGAAGAAGAUGACAAUGACUCAAGAGAUUCCAUGAGUCUUUCCAGCGAAUCAGAGGAUUCCCAGAAGGGGGCGCCGGUGGUCAAGGCCAGGGGAGCCCCAGGGGGAACGUGUCAGGAGCAGGGGGCCAGCGGGGGAUCCCAGAGUGGCAGCUGGGCAUCAGGACCAGCCUCCCCGCCAGAGUGCAGCGAAGGGGGUGGAGGUUCCAGUGUAUCAGGGGAAGCAGCUCCGGCAGCAGAGAAGGGAGGGAGGUCGGAGCAAGCCACCCUCCCGGAAGGGGAGGGGAGUAGUGAAGGGAGUAGUGUAGCUGUCAAAAGGAAGGUUAGAGGUUGGGCGCGCGCGCCAAGUUCAAAUGUGGAGGCGCGCGGAAGUACAGGGAGCCCGGAGGAGGGGCCAGGUCCCAAAGCCCGCAGGAGGGGGGAAGAGCAAUCUGGGGAUUCCGCGUCAGGGGAAUCCAGGAGGGGCGAAACCCCAGCGGGCAGGAAGACCCUGCGGAAAAGGAAAGAGAGGAAGAGGUGGAGCAGCGCAAGCCUCUUAAACUGGUGCAGGGGAGGGACUGACUCAGAGGGGACUUCAACGGUCUAAGUGUAACAGACGUGGGGCUGCGCGCCUCGGAUGUGAAGCAAACAAUGAACUCCAAUAAACACUUUUGUAUAUAAGAAGAAGUUGGCGUUGGUCUUUUGUGAGCUGAGACUUGAGGCAGCCCUGACAGAUAUGUUUCUGGGUAUGAAACCUGUGACUUGUGAAUGGCUGUCAUGAGGCUACAGUACAAAGAUGAGAGUCAAAUCGGUUGCAAAGGGUAAAAGAGUAUUGGGAAAUGAUCCAUAAUGAAUUGGAAAAAAAUGUUUAAAAGUGUCCACCCCCCAAAAAAACACACACACCAGAGUCCUUUCUGUUGGGGAUAAUUCAGACUGAAAUUCCCAGGUGUCAAGAAAGGUUAUUUAUGUACUCAACAACUGUGGCCCAUGUUUUGUUAGCCCCAAAAUGGAAAAUGAGCGAGGCCCCAACUAAAGAAGAGUGGCAACUUAAGUUGACAGAAUAUGCGCAGCUUGCAUACUUAACAUAUAGAAUAAGAGAACAAGAACAACAAACGUUUAGAGAAGAUUGGAAAAUGUUUAUUGAAUGUAUGGGAAAUAACUGUGUACAGCUGAAAACACUGGCAGCAUUAAGAUAAAUUCAACAGUGUAAAUAAGUUAUGAUGGGUGUAAUAAUGGAAUACUGAAAGGUAUAGUUUCUGUAAAAUAUGCAGGGAUUUAUGACAUGUAAAAUGAACCAUGGAAAGAGAAGGGAAGUCACUGAUAUCUUAAGGAUGUGUAAAUGAGUAUUUUAAACUGUAAAACAG
Molecule: non-coding RNA, 73858 nt
Organism: Podarcis lilfordi (Lilford's wall lizard)
Lineage: Eukaryota; Metazoa; Chordata; Lepidosauria; Squamata; Lacertidae
Source: the annotation of a GenBank genome assembly